UGGGCGCAGCUGGAAAGCCUUCGCCCACGCUCAUGGACUCGAGGACGGCUACGCCCUCCGUUUUAAGCUGACGGAGGCCCGUAUGCUCGUCGUCAAGUUCUACGGGCGCUCCGGUGUGCGUCUCGGCUGCUGCAAAGAAGGCUCGAGCGGCAUCGAAUGCUCCGCUUCGAGCGACAACAACGGGGAGGGCGGUAGCAGUGACGGUGCUGGGCCUAGUCUUAAGCAUGGGGGAAUCGAACCGGAGGAUGAUUCCCCCGGCUAGGACCGAGUGCUUCCUGCACUAGCGCGGCCGGAUCACGCCCCUCGCCCUCCUUGGAGGGGGGAUCUCAACCGGAUCCGUCGUCCCUUCCCGCGCCUUGACGAGGCCAAACCCGCUCCCGUCGGUACAACGCUGGUCCCGGAGGAGCCAACAUGGAUGUACCGCAGGCCUUGUCGCGUCUUGUCUUCAUGAACUCUAAUUCCUCCGCGUGGGUCGAUCCUCGUUUUAAAAGACAAAGUCUUUAGGUUAGGACAACAACGCAUUGUAAGUGCAAUCAAAUGUAUCUAGACGAAUGAAUGAAUAGAUGCAUCCUUUAUUUGACUCUCAUCUUGUAUGAUUAUUCUCUUGUACUUUCCACAUGCUUGCUGGCUUGAAUUAUCCUGCCGCGAGUACUUAGAGGAGCGGAUCCUCAGAAAACUCAACAGAGGAGGUCGUCACCGGCAAGACUCUUUGCCGCACUCAGUGCAACCAUGUAAAUCAUCGAGCGCGGCUCGAGGUGAAGUACGGUGCUACGAAGCCGCCGAAAACAUUGAACGAGUUCUAAACAAGAUGAGGGCGCUCUGUGGCCGGUCAAGUCGUUGAAUAGGAUAAAAACAAAGUCUGAGUGCACUGAUCUUAGCAAGGUCCAUCUACACGCGAGAUUUUCAUACAAAAGUCGAAACUUCGAAAGGAUACAACUAGUCUAUCCAGAGUCUAGCAAGAGGUUUGCCUUUGUACUUAUCUUGCGCGUCGCGGCAUUCUUAGCCGCAGCGUGUGAAGGUGCUGCCGGGGAGGAAUAUCUUGCACCACUGGCAAGAUCACGUUGCCCCCCAGCGGCCUCCUUGCUGACGAGGUUUUUGCCGGUGGCUUUUGGCCAGACUGAAGGAAAGAGGCGCGCCGGGGAGCAACACUUUCUCAUCUCUUUUGCAAGAGGUUUGCUGGCGGAGCCUCGGAGCGCAUCUUUCUGGCGUCACGGCGCUCCAAGGAGAAAUGCGAGCCAGAGGGUGCGUAAAGGGGCGGUUCGGGGCCUCAGACGCGUCCUCGACGACUAUGCAGCACUCCGGAGAUGUGCGAUGGCCGGAGUAAGCGUCGGAGGCCUCGCAGAAGCUCCUUGUCACGCCCUCGACAGCAGCGCGAGCAUUCCAAGGAGGUGUAUCAGCCGGGCUAUGCAGAGCUCGGGGCUUCCGCUCCUUCCACCGGCGCUUGCAUAACACCCAUGGAGGUGCUAUGUGCUCUCGCGCGCAAGCAGAGCAGCCACUGCCUCCUCUCGCUCCGGGAGGACGCUGCAGCGAAUUGAGAUCCAUUGAGCCGUCGAACGGCUCGUCGGAUCGGGACGGCACUGACGCCGGCCUGCUUCCGGCGAUCCCCCUACCUGGCGCGCCAAGGAUGUCGGUGAAAGGAUUGACACAUAUGGGGGCCUCGACGGUCCCCUUUUGCUUGUUUGGCAGGGUGAGGGGUCGCGGCAAGAGCAGAACCAAUAGUCAGGGCCCGACUAGAUCAUUUUUACCGAGGUUCAGGCCGCGUUGUGCAUAAAACCCUACUCCUGCAUGUGUUUAGUUAUUUGUUUUAGUUUACUGUAGAUCUGUCCCUCUUACAGCCUUUCGAUUGGUCAAAAAGCCAAAAGUCCUUUCUACCGAGCCUCGGGCCUCCUUUUAUAGGCCAAGGGGUCACCACAGUGGCUCAGUGGGUGAACGGUGGGUUCACGAGUGGAACAAUGCCGACCGCCCGCCACAGUGUUACUGCGGUGCAUUAAAUGCUUCGACAGACUUCCUGACCUUGUCAGGGGGGUUGGACAGUGCUGCCUCUUGAGCUUGCGUUGGUUUUUCCAUUGAAGAGGAAAGGGUGAUGCAGCACAGGAGCAGUAAGUAUUUCCCUCAGUGUGAGAACCAAGGUAUCAAUCCAGUAGGAGAAUCGAGGUCAAGUCCAGAGUACCUGCGCAAACACAAAAGAGCUUGCACCCAACGCUAUAAAGGGGUUGUCAAUCCCUUCAAGAUUGAUUGCAAAGUGAGAUCUGAAGGCGGAAAGUGCAAUGAAGUAAAAGUAUAAGGCUGAAAAUAUGGUGUGAAGUAGACCCCGGGGCCAUAGUGUUCACUAGAGGCUUCUCUCAAAAUAGCAAAUAAUACGGUGGGUGAACAAAUUACUGUCGAGCAAUUGAUAGAACCGCGCAAAGUCAUCACGAUAUCUAAGGCAAUGAUCAUACAUAUAGGCAUCACGUCCGAGACAAGUAGACUGAUACUUUCUGCAUCUACUACUAUUACUCCACACAUCGACCGCUAUCCAGCAUGCAUCUAGUGUAUUAAGUUCAUGACGAACAGAGUAACGCCUUAAGCAAGAUGACAUGAUGUAGAGGGAUAAACUCAAACCAAUGAUGAAAACCCAACCUUUUUACCCUUGAUGGAAACAACAUGAUGCGUGCCUCGUUGCCCCUUCUGUCACUAGGAGAGGUCACCACACGGUAUGAACCCAAAACCAAGCACUUCUCACAUUGCAAGAAUCAUAGAUCAAGUUGGCCAAACAAAACCCACAACUCGAAGAGAAUUACAAGGAUAUGAAAUCAUGCAUAUAAGAGAUCAGAAGAAACUCAAAUAAGAUUCAUAGAUAAUCUGAUCAUAAAUCCACAAUUCAUCGGAUCUCGACAAACACACCGUAAAGAAGAUUACAUCAGAUAGAUUUCCAUGAAGAUCAUGGAGAACUUUGCAUUGAAGAUCCAAGAGAGAGCAGAAGCCAUCUAGCUACUAGCUAUGGACUCAAAGGUCUAUGGUGAACUACUCACGCAUCAUCUGAGAGGUCAUGGUGUUGAUGAAGAAGCCCUCCGUAUCCGAAUCCCCCUCCGACAGGGCACCAAAACGUGCCCCAGAUGGGAUCUUGCGGAGAUAGAAGCUUGCGGCGGCGGAAAAGUAUUUUCGUGGAUCUCUCUCACAGUUUUGGAAUUUUUCUGAAUUUAUAGGCGGAAGAGGUAGGGCAGACGAGCCACACGGGGACCACAAGCCUGCUAGGCGCGGGGCCCCCCGGCCGCGCCUAGGGGGCCUGUGGGGUCCCCUGGUGGCCCCUGCCUUGGUUCUCAAGUCUCGUGCGUAUCUUCUGUUCCGGAAAAAAAUAUUUUGGAAGUUUUAUUCCGUUUGGACACCGUUUAAAAUCCUCCUCUGAAAAGGGUCAAAAACACGGAAAAAACAAGAACUGGCACCUGACACUGAGUUAAUAAGUUAGUCCCAAAAAAGAUAUAAAAGACAUACAAAACAUUCGAAGUUUGACAAGAUAAUAUCAUGGAACCAUCAAAAAUUAUAGAUACGUUGGAGACGUAUCAAGCACCCCCAAACUUAACUCCUGCUCGUCCUCGAGUAGGGAAGUGAUAAAGACUGAAUUUUCGAUGUGGAAUGCUACCUAGCAUAGUUGUUCUUUGUAACUUAUUUCAUGUGCCAUGAAUGUUCAGAUCCGUAAGAUUGAAAACAAUAGUUUGCUAUUGACAUGAAAACAAUAAUACUUCAAGCAAACUAGCAAGGUAAUCAUGAACUUUCGAAAUAACAAGGCCAAAGAAAGUUAUGCCUACAAAAUCAUAUAGUCUGGCUAUGCUCCAUCAUCCUCACAGAACUAAUUUAAAUCAUGCACAACCCCGGUAUUGGCCAAGUAAUUGUUUUUGCACUCUUACUUUCUCAAACCUUUUACAACUAUCACGCAAUACAUGAGCGUGAGCCAUGGAUAUAGCACUAUAGGUGGAAUAGAGUGUGGUGGUGGUUGUGAGACAAAAAAGGAGGAGAUGGUCACAUUGACUCGGCGUAUCAAAGGGCUAUGGAGAAGCCCAUUAAUAGAUAUCAAUGUGAAUGAGUAGGGAUUGCCAUACAAAGGAUGCACUAGAGCUAUAAGUAUGUGAAAGCUCAAAAGGAGAACUAGUGGGUGUGCAUCCAACUUGCUUGCUCACGAAGACCUAGGGAAAUUUGAGGAAGCCCAUCAUUGGAAUAUACAAGCCAAGUUAUAAAAUAAAGAUUCCCACUAGUAUAUGGUGGUGACAAAACAAGAGACUCUCAAUCAUGAAGAACAUGGUGCUAUUAUGAAGCACAAGUGUGGAAAAGAUAGUAGCAUUGUCCCUUCUCUCUUUUUCUCUCUUUUUUUAUUUGAGCUCUUUGGCCUCUUUUUUUCUCUUUUUUUUAUGUGGGCAACUUUGGCCUCUUUUUUUUAUUUCCUCACAUGGGACAAUGCUCUAAUAAUGAUGAUCAUCACACUUCUAUUUACUCACAGCUCAAAGCUUAGAACGAUCAUGACUCUAUAGGAAAUGCCUCCGACAGUGUACCGGGAUGUGCAACGAUCUAGCUUGGCGUAUGACAUUGAAAUAUCUCGCUAGCUAUCUUACGAUCAUGCAAUGGCAAUAUGAGAGUGACGACACAAGUCAUGAGAUGGAACGGUGGGAGUUGCAUGGCAAUAUAUCUCGGAAUGGCUAUGAAAAUGCCAUAGUAGGUAGGUAUGGUGGCUGUUUUGAGGAAGGCAUAUGGUGGGUUUGUGCACCGGCGAAAAUUGCGCGGUACUAGAGAGGCUAGCAAUGGUGGAAGGUGAAAGUGCAUCUAUACCAUGGACUCACAUUAGUCAUGAAGAACUCACAUACUUGUUGCGAAAGUUUUUAUUAGUAAUCGAAACAAAGUGCUAAACGCAUACUCCUAGGGGAAGGGUUGGUAGGUGUUAACCAUCGCGCGAUCCCGACUGCAACACAAAGGAUGACAAUCAAUAGAUCAAUUAUGCUCCGACUUCCUAACAUAGCAGUUCACCAUACAUGCAUGUUACGGGAAUCACUAACUUGAACACAAGUAUUUCUAGAUUCACAACACCCUACUAACAUAACUCUUAAUAUUACCGAGUCCACGUCUCAAAACUAAUUGAGAGGAAUCAAACUUCUCUUUCUACUCAAUGCUCAUGAAGAUGGAAGUUUUUGUAUCCUCUUUGGGUACCUAUCACCUUUGGGACUAUUUUCAUGGCACAAACCAACUACCAAAUCACGCACCGCCAUGCUCUAAAAGAUCUAAGUGAAGCACAGAGAGCAAAAAUUAUCUAGCUCAAAAGAUAUAAGUGAAGCACGAUGAGCAUUCUAGCAAAUUCACGAUGAGUGCAUGUAUGUCUCAAAAGGUGUGCAACAAGGAUGAUUGUGACACAACAAAAAGAAAAGACUCCUACGAUACAAGACGCUCCAAGCAGAACACAUAUCAUGUGGUGAAUAAAAAUAUAGCUCCAUGUAAUGUUACCGAUGGAUUGAAGACGAAAGAGGGGAUGCCUCCCGGGGCAUCCCCAAGCUUAGGCUUUUUGGUGUCCUUGAAUUUGUCUUGGGAUUCCUUGGGCAUCCCCAAGCUUGAGCUCUUUCCACUCUUUAUCCCUUUGUCCAUGAGAACAUCACCCAAAACUUGAAAACUUCACAACACAAAACUUAAACAGAAACUCAUGAUAUCAUUAGCACAAGAAAACAAACUACCACCUCUUUAGGUACUUUAGCAAUCUUGAUUUCUAUUUAUCUUGGUGUUAGAUUACCGUAUUCUCACUUUUCCAUGGCUAGUACCCCCCGAUACUAUCCAUAGUUUCAUCAAAACAAGCAACCAACACAACAAAAACAGAAUCUGUCAAAAACAGACCAGUGUGUAGGAAUUUGUAUACUUAGUAUACUUCUGGUACCUCAAAAAUUCUGAACAAUUACGAUUGCCUGGGAAAAAGGAAUAUCAACCAGAAGAAAAAAGAAUAAACUCAAAAUCUCUUUCUUAAUAAAAAUGAAAAAUAAUCUCGUGAGCGAAAAGUUUCUGUCUUUUUCCAGCAGGAUCAAACAACCAUCACCAAGACUAGUCAUAAAGGUUUUGCUUGGCUCAAACACAAAAAGAAACACAAAAGUCACAAUCAUAACAUAAUUAUGAUGGUGUGUAUGCAACAAAACAGAAAUAAAAAGAUAAAUUCAUUGGGUUGCCUCCCAACAAGCGCUAUUGUUUAACGCCCUUAGCUAGGCAUAAGGCGAUAGAAUCGUGUAUCGUCGUCUUUGGUGCUCAAACCAUAAGUAGCCCUCAUCAUAGAUUCAUAAGAAAAUCUUAUUUUUCUAGGAAAAUCCUCCAUGCCCUUUGAUACGUCUCCAACGUAUCUACUUUUCCAAACUCUUUUGCCCUUGUUUUGGACUAUAAUUUGCAUGAUUUGAAUGGAACUAACCUGGACUGACGCUGUUAUCAGCAGAAUUGCCUUGGUGUUAUUUUUGUGCAGAAAUCAAAGUUCUCCAAACGUCCUGAAAAUUUACGGGGAGCAGUUUUGGAAAAUAUCAAAAAUAUCUGCGCCAAGUUCCACCUCAAGGGGUGGGCCAGUGGGCCACCACCCCCUCGUGGCGGUGGGCAGGCUUGUGGGGCCCAUAGGCACCUGCCGCCCCCAACUCCAGCUCUAUAAGUUGUCUUUCAUCUGAGAAAAAAAUAAAAAUAGAAGUUUUCGUCGCGUUUUCGAUACGGAGGCACCGCCACCUCCUGUUCUUCAUCUGGAGGGCAGAUGUGGAGUCCGUCUUGGGCUCCGGAGAGGGGAAAUCGUCGCCAUCGUCAUCAUCAACCUUCUUCCCUCUCCAAUUCCAUGAAGCUCUUCGUCGUUUGUGAGUAAUCUAUUCGUAGGCUCGCUGGGCGGUGAUGAGUAGAAUGAGAUCUAUCAUGUAAUCGAGUUAGUUUUGAUGGGGAUUGAUCCCUAGUAUCCACUAUGUUAUGAGAUUUGAUGUUGCUACUACUUUGCCAUGCUUAAUGCUUGUCACUAGGGCCCGAGUGCCAUGAUUUCAGAUCUGAAAUUAUUAUGUUGUCACCAAUAUAUGUGUGUUUCAGAUCCGAUCUUGCAAGUUGUAGUUACCUACUAUGUGUUAUGAUCCGGCUACCCCGGAGUGACAAUAACCGGAACCACUCCCGGUGAUGACCAUAGUUUGAGGAGUUCAUGUGUUCACCAAGUGCUAAUGCGUUGGUCCAGUUCUUUAUUAAAAGGAGAACCUUAAUAUUCCGUAGUUUCCUUUUGGACCCUGCUGCCACGGGAGGGAUGGACAAUAGAUGUCAUUUAAGUUCUUUUCCCUAAGCACGUAUGACGACACACGGAGUGGAUGCCUACAUCACAUUGACGAAUGGGAGCUAGCCACAUAUCUCUCCGUGUUAUAGGUGUUGCAUGAUGAAUAUCAUCCAAACAAAUCACCGACCCAUUGCCUACGAGUUUGUCCUACUGUUGCUACUGCUGUUAUUUGUCUUGCUCUGCUGCUGCUACUACUACUAUUGCUACUGGUGUUACUUGUUUUGCUCUGAUGCUACUGUUGCUACUACUGUCGCUUGCUACUGUUGCUACUUGCUAUUGCUGUCACUACUACUGUUCCUUGCCACUCCUAUUGCUCGCUUCACUGCCGUUACUCGCUACUUUGCUGUUACUACUGUGCUUGCAGAUACUAAUCUUUCAGGUCUGGUUGAAUCUAACAAAUUCAGCUACUAAUACUUGAGAGUAUACUCUCACCUCCUGACGGGCUUAUCAACAAAUUGGGUCGAAUACUCUACCCUCGAAAACUACUGCGAACCCACGCGCUGGUGGGCCAUCAACAACAUUCUUCCAGUUUCAUUGCCGGGGAGUGCUAGUAGCAUUCUUCUGGUGCCGUUGCAGGAGAAGGUUCGUUGUCAUAAGCAUUCGUCUAGCUAACGGCAGAGUUUGCAGGAUCAGCCCUUUUCUGGAGACAUUGCCAGGGAAGCACAGCUGACGUCAGCAUUUUUCUGGCGCCGUUGCCGGGGAGGUAUUUCUAUAUUCUCUGAGUUACUUGGGAUUUAUAUCUGCUGAUCACUAUGAAGAAUCUGAAGGAUCCGAAGACCAAAGUCUCGCCCUCAACUACGAGGGGAGGUAAGGAAUUGCCAUCUACCUCUGCACUUGAUUCACCUUCAGUUAUGAGUAAGUUUGCGACUUCACCUCCUGCUCGAAAUAUUGAUAUGUCGCCUGUGCUUGAUGAUGCUUGUGAUACUACUGCUAGAGAUGCUAUGGCUGAUACUACUGCUAGAGAUGCUAUGCUUGAUACUACUGCUAGAGAUGUUAUGCUUGAUACUAUGCGAGAUACUGCUAGACAUGCUAUGCCUGAUACUGCUAGAGAUGCUAUGCUUGAUACUGCUUUGCCUGAUGAUGCUAGAGAUGCUAUUUUGCCUGAUGAUGCUAUGCUUGAUACUGCUAGAGAUGCUCCUUUUCCUGCUCCACUAGGAGUGUUCCUUGAUGCUCAUAUUGCUAGAGUUACUGCCAAUGCUCGUGAUGCUUCUGAAAUUACCGAUACUAUUGAGAUAGAACCUGCUUUUGCUCCUGCUAGAUCUAGCUCUCCUAGAUAUGAAUUGCCUGAUAUACCUGAGGGUUACGUUAUGGAGGAAGAGAUAGCUGAGGACUUUCUUGCGUGUAAGGAUGCCUAUGACGCUGAGAAAUUAAUUCUCAAGUGGAAGGAAAAAUCUCGGGAAGUUAGGAUGAAAAAUGAUCCGAAGUUUGCCACGUCGCCUAUCUUUGUCACCGAUAAGGAUUAUGAAUUCUCUGUCGACCCUGAGAUAAUCUCUCUAGUUGAAUCUGAUCCUUUUCACGGUUAUCAGUCUGAGACGGUCAUAACCCAUCUUGCCAAACUAUCCGAAAUAGCCAACCUUUUCACUAAUGAGGAGAAGAUCCGCCACUACUAUAUCCUUAAGCUGUUUCCUUUUUAUCUAAAGGAUGAUGCUAAAGCCUGGUUCACCUCUCUUGCUCCUGGAUGUGUGCGUAGUCCCCAGGAGAUGGUCUAUUACUUCUGUGAGAAAUAUUUCCCUGCCCAUAAGAAGCAAGCUGCCUUGCAGGAAAUAUACAACUUUUCUCAAGUCCAAGAAGAGAGUCUUCCACAAGCUUGGGGGAGGCUCGUCCAGCUACAUAAUUCUUUGCCUGAUCACCCUCUCAAGAAGAACGAGAUACUUGAUAUCCUCUAUAACGGACUUACCGAUGCCUCUAGAGACUACCUAGAUAGUUGUGCCGGUUGUGUUUUUAGGGAACGAACUGUAGAACAAGCUGAGACUCUACUGAAUAACCUCUUGAUCAACGAUAAUGCUUGGACUAUUCCCGAACCACCUCCUAAGACAACUCCGAAGAAAAGAGGUAUUCUAUUCCUCAGUCCCGAAGAUAUGCAAGAAGGCAAGAAAUCUAUGCAAGAGAAAGGCAUUAGAUCUGAAGAUGUCAAAAAUCUACCACCUAUCGAAGAGAUCCAUGGUCUCGAUAACCCGAUACAGGUAGUAGAAGUGAAUUCUCUACGUAGGUUUGACGAGAGUGAUAUUCCUUUUGAUAAACCUGCUAGCCUAUGCUUUGAUGAAUUUGACAACUUUGUUGCCAAACAACAGAGUUUCAAUGAUUAUGUUAGCAGACAUUUGGAACAAAGUACUCGUAUGCUUAGCCAUUUAAGUGCUUGUGUAGACAGAAAUGUCAAUGCUUUGAAGCUCCUGAGUAAACAUGCCUCUAUGAUUACUACUCAGGUAGAACAACUCUGUCAGAGUCAUUACUAGAGGAGGCAAAAUGACUCAGUAACCUUUGUAUCCUGAAGGUCAUCCUAAGAGAAUUGAUCAAGAUUCUCAAGGAACCAAUGCUGAUACACCUAGUCAUCCUAAGGAGAAGAAGAAGGAUGAUAGAAACCUGCACGCCAGUUCACCAAAUCUAUCACACCUGAAGAACCUAAUGAUAUUUCUGCGUCUGAUGCAGAAACACAAUCAGGUGAUGAACAUGAACCUGAUGACAAUGUGGACAGUGAUGUUCAUAAUAAUGCUCAACCUAGCCAUGAUGAGGAUGUGGAGAUUGAACCUACGGUUAAUCCUGAUAAUCCACAACCUAAGAGAUACGACAAGAAUGACUUUACAGCUAGGAAGCAUGGUAAAGAAAGAGAGCCAUGGGUUUAGAGACCUAUGCCCUUUCCUCCUAAGCCAUCCAAGAAAAAGGAUGAUGAGGAUUUUGAGCGCUUCGUUGAGAUGAUAAGACCCGUCUUUCUGCAUAUGCAAUUAACUGAUAUGCUCAAGAUGUCUUCGUAUGCCAAGUACAUGAAAGAUAUCGUGACUAAUAAACGGAAGAUACCAGAUCUUGAGAUCUCCACCAUGCUUGCCAAUUACACUUUCAAAGGUGGAACUCCUAAGAAACUUGGUGAUCCCGGAGUGCCCACUAUACCUUGCUCCAUUAAAGGAAACUACGUGAGAACUGCCUUAUGUGACCUUGGAGCCGGUGUUAGUGUUAUGCCACUCUCUCUUUAUUGUAGACUUGAGUUGGAUAAGUUGACACCCACUGAAAUUUCUCUGCAAAUGGCCAAAAAAUCAACUGCUUUCCCUAUCGGCAUUUGCGAGGAUGUGCCUGUUGUGGUUGCUAAUACCACUAUCUUAACAGACUUUGUUAUCUUGGAUAUUCCCGAGGACGAUGCCAUGGCUAUCAUCCUCGGAAGACCCUUUUUAAACACUGCAGGGGAUGUUAUAGAUUGCAACAAAGGCAAUGUCACUUUCCACGUCAACGGUAAUGAGCACACAGUGCACUUUUCAAAGAAACGAUAUCGAGUACAUUGCAUCAAUGCUAUUGAAAAGACUUCAUCGAUUCUUAUUGGGAGCUUUUAAUGCCCUAUUCCUCGUGUCAAGAUGAAGUAUGAUUUGCUUGUUGGGGAGAUUCAUAUCCCCAUUGAGGUGACUUAGUGGCUAUUCGAAAAUUCUCCGUUCUCUCUUGCGAUUCGAGAAGGUUUUGUCAUAAGGACUUGAUCAACCCCAUUGACGAAUUUCUUCCGAUGACCAUGAAACGGAUGAAUCAGAGAGUCACAUACCUCUGUUUUGAGUCUUCAUUUUCUGUUGCUUAGAAGAAAAAUGAUAGAAUUAGUUUAGCUUUUCCUGUUUUCUGUUCUAGCGUCCCGAAGAAAAAUACCUCGAAAAUAAAAGUUCUCCGAUGGUCUUGAAAAUUUAGUAUGAUUUUUUCUGGAAUUUUUGAAAAUUUCUGGGCCUGAGAGCUGGUCAGGGGGCCUGACCAGUGGGCCACAAGCCCCCCCCAACCGCUACCUACCCCUGGUGGCGGGGUGCAAGCUUGUGGGGCUCACAUGCAUCCCCUCCACUCAUUCCAGCUCCCAGCCUCUUCUUCCACCUCCAGAAAAAUUGUUUCGCAGCUCAAACCUGUGUUCUUGCUCAUUUGGAUGUGAUUUUCGAUUUCCUUGCUCAAAGCACCAUUCUCCGAACCGUUUUGGGGAACUUACUCCUUGGUAAGUGACUCCUCCAUUGGUCCAAUUAGUUUUUGCUCUAGUGCUUUAUCCUUUGCGAAUUCUUGCUACCUUGGUGACCCUGUUCUUGAGCUAGAAAAGUUGAUUUUAGCUGGCACCAAGUAGUUUUAGCACAUGAUACAGUCUCUAGGCACUAGUAGGAGUAGUUGCUACAAGUUGGGUUAACCCUUAUUCACUUUUCUUUCGAAGUCUCUAAAAAUUUCAGAAUUUUUCAGAGCUAGAAAAAGGAAGAGAUGAGGAGGUUCUUGAGAGGCUCUUCAAGCCGUAACCACAAGGAGGAUGAGAAGAAUCACCCCAAGUACAUAGUCCCUCGAGUCACAGAAGUUCGAGCGUGCGAGUUUCCAAGUGAUGAAUUUUUGCGCGCCACCGGACUUUAUGAAGACUUGUAUUACUUGGUGGAGAACGCAGGUCUUACUGCGUUCGUUGAAGAUAAGUGCCCACAAUAUCUCCUCUUCACCAAUAUUUUCGUUCAAAGCUUGAACUUUUAUCCGUGGAAGAAUCCUCCCAUGGUUGAGUUCAUGAUAUACGAUGUUCCCCAGUGCAUGAGGCUGCAGGAUUUUUGCAAUGUAUGCAAAUUACCUUAUGUUGGGGAUAUCCGUGACCCUCGUCCACGGGACUUGGAGGAUUUCAUUGGUUCUAUUGCUGUUGGAGAGGAGAGAGGAGUGUCUCACGCUAGAAUUGCUAGCAUACAUUUUCCUGUGCUUCGGUACUUCUCACUAUUUGUGGGAAAAUGUUUGAUUGGCCAUGGGGAGGCUGGAUCACUUAGUUCUCCAGACCUUGCGGUUUUGCAUGAAGGCCUUUAUAACAACAAGACUUAUAGCUUGGGCGCUAUAGUAGCUCAACGGUUGAACCUGAACCGUUCUAAAGGUGUUGUCUAUGGAGGUAUCUAUGCUACCCGUCUUGCCAAACACUUUGAGAUACCGAUUAGACUGGGAGAGGAAGGAGAGAUGCUUCUCCCUGAGAGAUAUCUGGAUUAUGGCAGCAUGGUUCGCCAUGAUUUUCUGGAUAGAGAUGCUUGUAGACGGAUGAUUUAUAACCUGGUGUUUAGUCAGGGUACUCGAGAGACUAUUACUUUGCCUGCUCCUUCUUUGUUUGAUCUUCAUGCAGGCAGGUACACUAUUAUGCCCGCAGACAUCUAUGCAUAUUGGGGCUUGGCCCAACCACAGGCGCACGUGCCCGAGCCGCCAGUCGAGUACUAGACGCCAGUUUAUCAGUGGGAGCCAGAGGAGCUCACACAGCAGUGGCAUCCACAGUCUGCUCCGGAGUAUCCUGGAGCUGGUUAUUUCCCACCUUGGGAGUAGACCAAGCUAGGCCAAAAGCCUAAGCUUGGGGGAGUACGUGUUCUCACCGACUUUACUUUCAUGCUUAUGCUCUCACUUUGUUAUCCGGUGUUUACACUUUGCCACUUUAUUAUCCAUGCUAGUUUCUUUUCGUUUUCUUGUUUUCUUGUUUUGUGUCCUUUUGAGAAAACCCAAAAAGAUUUUUCUUUCUUCUUUUGCUUGUUGGGAGCUUUCCCGUGUAAAUAGUUUUCUUUUUCUUUGUGUCAAGGUAGAAGAUAUUGGUUACAAUGCUUAGUGGUUCUUACAUGCUUACCUAUUUAGCUUUCAAAGAGCCAUAUUAUUUUGUCUUCUCCUUUGUGUUUGCGUGCAGAUUCAGCUUAGUCCAAUGCGCUUAUUAUCGUUUUCAUCGUUCGAUCGUGCAAAUGAAAGGCAACAAUGAUGAUAUAUGAUGAAGUGACUGAGACUGAAAAGCUGGUAUGAACUCUAUCUAUUUUGUUUUUGUAAAUAUGACUAGCUUGUUGACCCAGAUUUAGCUUUGUUGUGAGAGGACCAUGUUUGCAAUGACAACUUAGAGAUCAUAGUUUCUGAUGCCAUGCUUAUUUAGCUGAGAGCUUAUAAUGGUUUGUCUUGACUGCCAGCAUAGAUUUUGAGAUGACUAUGAUGUAGUAUGAUAGGAUGGUAUUCUCCUUUGAAUGUUUCAAGUGGCUUGACUUGGUGCAUGUUCAUGCAUGUAGUUGAAACAAAUCAACAUAGCCUCUAUGAUGUUCGUGUUCAUGGUGAUUUAUAUCAUGUUCAUGCUUGCAUUCAAUGUUAGUCAAAAUCAUUGCAUCUUGAUGACUGUUGUCGCUCUCUAGUUGGUCGCUUCCCAGUCUUUUGCUAGCCUUCACUUGUACUAAGCGGGAAUGCUGCUUGUGCAUCCACUUCCAUAAACCCAAAAGUUUUUCCAUGAGAUUCCACCAUACCUACCUAUUUGCGGUAUCUACCUGUCGUUCCAAGUAAAUUUGCAUGUGCCAUUCUAUAAACCUUCAAGAAUAAAUCUGUUUUGCAUGCCCGAACCGCUCAUGUGGUGACAGAGGGCUAUUGGUAUCUUCCAUGCUAGGAGUGUUAUCCUCGACAUGUGUUUAUUCACAGUCCUUCACGAGAAAGGGGUCGGUAUUUGGGAUGCCUAGUUCCAUGCUUAAAUCGAAAACAUAACUGUAAAACAAGACUCCCCCCGGAUUGAUGUUAGUAUGGACGGUACCCGAGGAUUCGUCUAGCCGUGGAGUGUGAUUGAUUGGUGGUGGGGGAGUUAAAACUUUAGUUUUCUGUUUGGGAACCGCCUAUAGCAUGAGUAGCAUGGAAGAUAUUGAGAACUCUUGGUCAUUGCGUUGACAAUGAAAGCAUGCCACCCAAAAUUAUUAUCUCUGUUUUCAAAGCUUGAGCUCUGGCACCUCUGCAAAUCAAUGCUUCUCUCUGCGAAGGGCUUGUCUAUUUAUUUUCCUAUUGAGUCAUCCUCCUCUUAUAUAAGCACCAAAUAGAGAGCACCUCUGUCAUUUUUAUGCUUUGUUUUUGACUGAUAUUGAGUAUGACUAUGACUGGAUCUUUGUUGCUAUGAAUUACAAUGUUUAGUCAGCCCUUGAUCUUUGAAAGUGCUCUGCAUUUAUGUUUUGCGGUCUCAGAAAGAGCUAGCGAGAUACCACCUAUUCAUAUUGCUUCAUGCUUGUUUUGAUUGAAGUGUUGGUAUUUGAAACUCAUUAUUAUUUGCUCGUUAGCUGAUUAUGCCAUUGAUAUUAGUUUACCGUGAGACCUUUGUGUCAUUUGCUUAUGUGGUCAACUUGUGAUCUUGCUGAAAUUCUGGUUAUGAGUUAGACAUAGUUGCAACAACAAGAUCAAACAGAGUUUGUCAAAGUUUUUCUUUCUCUCUCAGUUUGUCAACUGAGUUGCUUGAGGACAAGCAAGGUUUUAAGCUUGGGGGAGUUGAUACGUCUCCAACGUAUCUACUUUUCCAAACUCUUUUGCCCUUGUUUUCGACUAUAAUUUGCAUGAUUUGAAUGGAACUAACCUAGACUGACGCUGUUUUCAGCAAAAUUGCCUUGGUGUUAUUUUUGUGCAGAAAUCAAAGUUCUCCAAACAUCCUGAAAAUUUACGGGGAGCAGUUUUGGAAAAUAUCAAAAAUAUCUGCGCCAAGUUCCACCUCAGGGGGUGGGCCAGUGGGCCACAAGCCCCUGCUCCGCCACCACCCCCUGGUGGUGAUGGGCAGGCUUGUGGGGCCCACAGGCACCUGCCUCCCCCAACUCCAGCUCUAUAAGUUGUCUUUCGUCCCAGAAAAAAUAAAAAGAGAAUUUUUCGUCGCGUUUUCAAUACGGAGGCGUCGCCACCUCCUGUUCUUCAUCUCGAGGGAAGAUCUGGAGUCCGUCUUGGGCUCCGGAGAGGGGAAAUCGUCGCCAUCGUCAUCAUCAACCUUCUUCCCUCUCCAAUUCCAUGAAGCUCUUCGUCGUUCGUGAGUAAUCUAUUCGUAGGCUCGCUGGGCGGUGAUGAGUAGGAUGAGAUCUAUCAUGUAAUCGAGUUAGUUUUGAUGGGGAUUGAUCCCUAGUAUCCACUAUGUUUUGAGAUUUGAUGUUGCUACUACUUUGCCAUGCUUAAUGCUUGUCACUAGGGCCCGAGUGCCAUGAUUUCAGAUCUGAAAUUAUUAUGUUGUCACCAAUAUAUGUUUGUUUUAGAUCCGAUCUUGCAAGUUGUAGUUACCUACUAUGUGUUAUGAUCCGGCAACCCCGGAGUGACAAUAACCGGAACCACUCCCGGUGAUGACCAUAGUUUGAGGAGUUCAUGUGUUCACCAAGUGCUAAUGCGUUGGUCCGGUUCUUUAUUAAAAGGAGAACCUUAAUAUCCCGUAGUUUCCUUUUGGACCCCGCUGCCACGGGAAGGAUGGACAAUAGAUGUCAUGCAAGUUCUUUUCCCUAAGCACGUAUGACGACACACGGAAUGCAUGCCUACAUCACAUUGACGAACGGGAGCUAGCCACAUAUCCCUCCGUGUUAUAGCUGUUGCAUGAUGAAUAUCAUCCAAACAAAUCACCGACCCAUUGCCUACGUGUUUGUCCUACUGUUGCUACUGCUGUUACUUGUCUUGGUCUGCUGCUGCUGCUACUACUGUUGCUACUGCUGUUACUUGUUUUGCUCUGCUGCUACUGUCGCUUGCUACUGCUGUCACUACUGCUGUUCCUUGCCACUGCUAUUGCUCAUUACACUGUCGUUACUCGCUACUUUGCUGUUACUACUGUGCUUGCACAUACUAAUCUUUCAGGUGUGGUUGAAUCUGACAAAUUCAGCUGCUAAUACUUGAGAGUAUACUCUCACCUCCUGACGGGCUUAUCAACAAAUUGGGUCGAAUACUCUACCCUCGAAAACUGUUGCGAACCCACGCGCUGGUGGGCCAUCAACAACAUUCUUCCAGUUUCAUUGCCGGGGAGUGCUAGCAGCAUUCUUCUGGUGUCGUUGCACGAGAAGGUUCGUUGUCAUAAGCAUUCAUCUAGCUAACGUCAGAGAUUGCAGGAUCAGCCCUUUUUUGGAGCCAUUGCCAGGGAAGCACAACUGACAUCACCCUUCUUUAAAGGAAACUAAAAUCUAAUAUUCCCUUCCUUCAUAUCGAUGAUAGCACCGAUAGUCCUUAGGAAAGGUCUACCAUGGAUGAUAGGGCAUGCAGGAUUGCAUUCCAUGUCAAGCACAAUGAAAUCCAUGGGUACAUAGUUCCUAUUUGCAAUAAUAAGAACAUCAUUGAUCCUUCCCAUGGGUUUCUUGAGAGUAGAAUCCGCAAGAUGCAAAUUAAGAGAACACUCCUCAAUCUCAUUAAAACCCAGAAUAUCACAUAAAGACUUUCGAAUCGCGGAAACACUAGCACCCAAAUCACACAAAGCAUUGCAUUCAUAGUUUUUGAUUUUGAUUUUGAUAGUAGGUUCCCCCUCAUCAUGAAGCUUUCUAGGGAUAGAAACUUCCAAUUCAAGUUUCUCUUCAAGAGAUUUUAUCAUAGCAUCGACGAUAUGAUCAGUAAAGGACUUGUUUGGGCUAUAACGUGUGGAGAGUUUAGCAUGGAUUGCAUCAAGGAAAUGCAUUCAAUCAAGGAGCAACUAUCAUAAUUGAAUUCCUUGAAAUCCAAAGUAGUAGUUUCAUUACCAAUCAAGGUUUUAAUAUCUUCUACUCCACUUUCAAUGCUUUUAGCAUCAAGAUAGAUGGACUCCUAAUCAUUGGGGCGUUUUUCAACCAAAGUGGAUUCAUAUCCAGCCCCAUCAUCAUUAGGUUCGACACAAGAAAACAAAGAUUCAAUGGGAGUCACACCAAGCACUUUAAGAUCUUCGUGAUUCUUAUCACGAGAACAUGCCCUUUUAAGCCAUUCAUGUCUAGCACGAAUUUGGGCGGUUCUUUCUUUGCUCUCACUCAUGGAAACACGCAUAGCUUUCAAAGUUUCAUCCAUAUUGAUCUUGGUUGGAGCACAUCUAACUUUCAAAGCAUCAAUAUCACUAGACAUUCUAUCAACACUCCUAUCCAAAUCGUCAAUUUUGAGUAGUUUUUCCUCUAUGGACGCAUUGAAAAUCUUUUGCGAGUUGAUAAACUCUUUGAUAUUACUCUCUAGAUCACAGGGUAAUCUAUUUUAAUUUCCAAGAGGAUUGUUGUAGGAGUUUCCAAAAUUAUUAGAGGGGUUACUAGGAAAAGGCCUAGGAACAUAGUUUCCUCUAAAAGCAUUGUUGUUGCCAAAAUUAUUCCUACCAACAAAAUUAACAUCCAAGCUAGUGUUGCUACUCUCAAUCAAGGAAGACAAGGGCAUGUCAUUAGGAUCUAAAGGAGCACUUCUACUAGCAACCAAAUUCAUUAAGUCAUCCAUCUUAGCACUCAACGAGUUAAUUUCUUCUACAACGUGUACCUUCUUACUAGUAGGUGACCUUUUAGUGUGCCACUGAGAGUAGUUCAUCAUGAUAUUGUCUAGGAGUUAUGUGGCUUCUCCUAACGUGAUUUCCAUGAACGUUCCACGUGAGGCAGAAAUUCAAGCCAGCGUAGAAGAUUUUUAUAAUCAUCCAAAUACUCAAGCCAUGAGCGGGACAAUUUCUAAUCAUCAAUUUCAUUCUCUCCCAAGAUUGUGCAACAUGUUCAUGAUCAAGUUGCUUAAAAUUCAUGAUAUCAUUAUGGAGAGAGAUAAUCUUAGUCGGCGGAAAAUACUUGGAUAUAUAAGCAUCUUUGCACUUGUUCCAAGAAUCAAUACUAUUUUUCGGCAAAGACGAAAACCAAGUUUUUGCUCGAUCUCGCAACGAGAACGGAAAAAGCUUCAACUUAAUCACAUCAUUAUCCACAUCUUUCUUCUUUUGCAUAUCACAAAGCUCAAUGAAGGUAUUAAGAUGGGAUGCGACAUCUUCACUAGGAAGGCCGGAGAAUUGCUCUUUCAUAACAAGAUUUAGCAAAGCAGCAUUGAUUUCGUAUGACUCCACACUAGUGGCGGGAGCAAUCAAAGUACUAAUAAAAUCAUUAUUAUUAGUAUUCGAGAAGUCACAAAGUUUGGUGUUUUCAGUCAUGGUGACUUCAGCAAGCAAACAAGCACACAAGCGAACAGUAAGCAAGCGAGUGAAAAGGGCGAACGAAAAAGGCAAACGAAAAAAGGCAAAUAUUUUUGUAAUUUUUUUUUCAGAAGUGAGGGAGAGGAAAUCGAGAGGCUCCCAACACUAUAAUAAUGAUUUCAGAAGUAAAUGCAAGAGAUGAGUUUGCGACAGUUACUUGGAUGAGUUCUUGACUUGAUCCUCCCCGUCAACGGCGCGAGAAAUCCUUCUGCUGCCUCUUGAGCUUGCGUUGGUUUUUCCCUUUAUGAGGAAAGGGUGAUGCAGCACACGAGCAGUAAGUAUUUCCCUCAGUUCGAGAACCAAGGUAUCAAUCCAGUAGGAGAAUCGAGGUCAAGUCCAGAGUACCUGCGCAAACACAAAAGAGCUUGCACCCAACGCUUUGAAGGGGUUGUCAAUCCCUUCAAGAUUGAUUGCAAAGUGAGAUCUGAAGGCGGAAAGUGCAACGAAGUAAAAGUAUAAGGCUGAAAAUAUGGUGUGAAGUAGACCCGGGGGCCAUAGUGUUCACUAGAGCCUUCUCUCAAAAUAGCAAAUAAUACGGUGGGUGAACAAAUUACUGUCGAGCAAUUGAUAGAACCGCACAAAGUCAUGACGAUAUCUAAGGCAAUGAUCAUACAUAUAGGCAUCACGUCUGAGACAAGUAGACUAAUACUUUCUGCAUCUACUACUAUUACUCCACACAUCGACCACUAUCCAGCAUGCAUCUAUUGUACUGAGUUCAUGACAUACAGAGAAACGCCUUAAGCAAGAUGACAUGAUGUAGAGGGAUAAACUCAAACCAAUGAUGAAAACCCCAUAUUUUUACCCUUGAUGGCAACAACACAAUGCGUGCCUCGCUGCCCCUUCUAUCACUAGGAGAGGUCAGCGCACGGUAUGAACCCAAAACCAAGCACUUCUCCCAUUGCAAGAAUCAUAGAUCAAGUUGGCCAAACAAAACCCACAACUUGAAGAGAAUUACAAGGAUACGAAAUCAUGCAUAUAAGAGAUCAGAAGAAACUCAAAUAAGAUACAUAGAUAAUCUGAUCAUAAAUCCACAAUUCAUCGGAUCUCGACAAACACAACGCAAAGAAGAAUACAUCGGAUAGAUCUCCAUGAAGAUCAUGGAGAACUUUGUAUUGAAGAUCCAAGAGAGAAAAGAAGCCAUCUAGCUACUAGCUAUGGACCCGAAGGUCUAUGGUGAACUACUCACGCAUCAUCGGAGAGGUCAUGGUGUUGAUGAAGAAGCCCUCCGUAUCCGAAUCCCCCCUCUGGCAGGGCACCAGAACAUGCCCCAAAUGGGAUCUUGCGGAGACAGAAUCUUGCGGCGGCGAAAAAGUAUUUUCGUGAUCUCUCUCGCAGUUUUGGAUUUUUUCUGAAUUUAUAGGGGGAAGAGGUAGGGCAGACGAGCCACAGGGGGCCACAAGCCUGCAAGGCGCGGGCCCCCUGUCCGCGCCUAGGGGGCUUGUGGGGUCCCCUGGUGGCCCCUUCCUUGGUUCUCAAGUCUCGUGCAUAUGUUUUGUUCCGGAAAAAAUCUUUUCGGAAGUCUUAUUCUGUUUGGACACUGUUUAAAUUCCUCCUCUGUAAAGGGUCAAAAACACGGAAAAAAUAGGAACUGGCACUUAGCACUGAGUUAAUAAGUUAGUCCCAAAAAAGAUAUAGAAGGCAUACAAAACAUCCAAAGUUUGACACGAUAAUAACAUGGAACCAUAAAAAAUUAUAGAUACGUUGGAGACGUAUCAGACACGUACCCACACGUGGCAACUUCGGGGUGUUGUGCUGGUGUGUGGGCGGACGCGUGGUCCAUGCAUCAGCGAUGGCUUGCUCGUCGGUGGAGGCGUUCUUAGGACGGGAAGGCUCCCUGGGCCCACACCUCUCUUCGGGCCUUCUUUUCCUCCCCNNNNNNNNNNNNNNNNNNNNNNNNNNNNNNNNNNNNNNNNNNNNNNNNNNNNNNNNNNNNNNNNNNNNNNNNNNNNNNNNNNNNNNNNNNNNNNNNNNNNNNNNNNNNNNNNNNNNNNNNNNNNNNNNNNNNNNNNNNNNNNNNNNNNNNNNNNNNNNNNNNNNNNNNNNNNNNNNNNNNNNNNNNNNNNNNNNNNNNNNNNNNNNNNNNNNNNNNNNNNNNNNNNNNNNNNNNNNNNNNNNNNNNNNNNNNNNNNNNNNNNNNNNNNNNNGGCCUUCUUUUCCUCCCCGGCAGGGUUACCUUGCCGGGGGCUCUUCUCGUUCCUCUCGGCAGGGAGGUGAUGGCCUACCAAGGCCUUGUCAAUCUUCCCAGCAACGAUGGUUUGUUGGGGCUCAGUCCUUCUUCCUUGGCGGGAGGGUCUCGCCAUGUUAGUGCCUAUCUUCUCGGCGGGGAGCUCCUGCUGGGGUCUCUUCUUCAGUCCCAACAAGCGGGCGCUUGCCGGGGGGGGGGGGGGCNNNNNNNNNNNNNNNNNNNNNNNNNNNNNNNNNNNNNNNNNNNNNNNNNNNNNNNNNNNNNNNNNNNNNNNNNNNNNNNNNNNNNNNNNNNNNNNNNNNNGGGAGAGGAUCCGCCACUACUAUAUCCUCAAGUUGUUUCCUUUCUCGCUAAAGGAUGAUGCUAAGACUUGGUUCACUUCUCUUGCUCCUGGUUGUGUGCGUAGCCCCCAGGAUAUGGUCUACUACUUCUUUGAAAAAUAUUUCCCUGCCCAUAAGAAGCAAGCUGCCUUGCAAGAAAUAUACAACUUUGCGCAAGUUGAAUAAGAGAGUCUCCCACAAGCUUGGGGGAGGCUUGUCCAGCUACUGAAUGCUUUGCCUGAUCACCCUAUUGAAAAGAAUGAAAUACUUGAUAUCUUCUAUAAUGGAUUUAUCGAUGCUUCUAGAGACCACCUAGAUAGUUGUGUUGGUUGUGUUUUUAGGGAACGAACUGUAGAACAAGCUGAGAUCCUAUUGAAUAAUAUCUUGUGCAAUGAGAAUGCUUGGACUAUUCCCGAACCACCUCCUAAGCCAACUCCAAACAAAAUAGGUAUUCUAUUCCUCAGUCCUGAAGAUAUGCAAGAAGCUAAGAAAUCUAUGAAAGAGAAAGGCAUUAAAUCUGAAGAUGUCAAAAAUCUACCACCUAUCAAAGAGAUCCAUGGUCUUGAUAACCCGAUACAGGUAGUAGAAGUAAAUUCUCUGUGUAGGUUUGAUGAGAGUGAUAUUCCUUUUGAUAAACCUGCUAGCCUAUGCCUGGAUGAAUUUGAUAACUUUGUUGCCAAACAACAGAGCUUCAAUGAUUACGUUAGCAAACAAUUGGAACAGAAUGCUCGUAUGCUUAGUCAUUUAAGUGCUUGUGUAGACAGAAACGUCAAUGAUCUUAAGCUCCUGAGUAAGCAUGCCUCUAUGGUUACCAAGGUUGUCAAAAUCGUGAUUCUGAAUCGGAUCGGAGCUCCGUUGGUAGGAUCGUGAAUCGUAGAAUCAUAACUAUCAAGAUAGUAGAAACUUAGAUUCUAUGAGCAAAGUCGUGGAAUCAGAGGGGCUAGUUUGGAUCGUAAAGUCGUAAGAUUCUAAGACUUGAGUCGCGAUUCUGAUAACUUUGAUGGUUACUACUCAGGUAGAACAAGUACUUAAAGCUCAGAAUGACUUGCUCAAUGAGUUGAAUGACAAUUCUGUUAGAGUCAUCACGAGAGGCGGUAGAAUGACCCAGGAACCUUUGUAUCCUCAGGGUCAUCCUAAGAGAAUUGAACAAGAUUCUCAAGGAGUUAGCACUGAUGCACCUAGUCAUCCUAGAAAGAAGAAGAAAGAUGAUAGGGAUUUGCACGUUAGCAACCCUGUUGCUGAUUCACCUGAGAGUCCAAAGGAUGUCUCUGCUUCUGAUGCUGAGACACAAUCUGGUGAUGAACAUGAGCCUAAUGAUAAUAUCAAUACUGAUGUUCAUGAAGAUGCUCAACCUAGCAAUGAUAAGGAUGUGGAGAUUGAACUUGUUGAUCUUGAUAACCCACAGCCUAAGAAUAAGAGAUACGAUAAGAAUGACUUCACUGCUAGGAAGCAUGCUAAAGAAAGGGAACCAUGGGUUCAGAAACCCAUGCCCUUUCCUCCCAAACCAUCCAAGAAAAAGGAUGGUGAGGAUUUUGAGCGUUUUGUUGAAAUAAUUAGACCUGUCUUUCUGCAAAUGCGUUUGACAGGUAUGCUCAAAAUGUCUCUGUAUGCUAAGUACAUGAAGGAUGUUGUGACUAAUAAGAGGAGGAUACCUGAGGUUGAGAUUCCCACCAUGCUCGCUAACUAUACCUUCAAGGGUGGAACUCCUAAGGAACUAGGUGAUCCCAGAGUGCCCACUAUACCUUGCUCUAUUAAAGGUAACUACAUUAGAACUGCUUUAUGCGACCUUGGAGCCGGUGUUAGUGUUAUGCCUCUCUCUCUUUAUCAUAGACUUGAGCUGGAUAAGUUGACACCCACUGAAAUCUCUCUGCAAAUGGCCGACAAAUCAAUUGCUUUCCCUAUCGGCAUUUGCGAGGAUGUGCCUGUUGUGGUUGCCAACGUUACUAUCUUAACAGACUUUGUUAUCUUGGAUAUUCCCGAGGACGAUGCCAUGGCGGUCAUCCCCGGAAGACCCUUUUUAAACACUGCAGGGGCUGUUAUAGAUUGCAACAAAGGCAAUGUCACUUUCCAUGUCAAUGGUAAUGAGCAUACGGUGCACUUUCCGAAGAAACAAUAUCGAGUACAUUGCAUCAAUGCUAUCGAAAAAACUUCAUCGAUUCUUAUUGGGAGCUUUGAAUGCCCUAUACCUACUAUUAAGAUGAAGUAUGAUUUGAUUGUCGGGGAUAUGCACAUCCCCAUUGAGGUGACCUAGUGACUAUUCGAAAAUUCUCUGUUCUCUUUUGCGAUUUGAAAAAGUUUGACAAGGAGACUUCAUCAACCUCAUUGACGGAUUUCUUUCGAUGACCAUGAGACGGAUGAAUCGAGGAGUCACAAACCUAUGUUCCAAGUUUUCACAUUCGGUUGCUUAGAAAAAAAAUGAUAGAACUAGUUUAGUUUUCCCUGUUUUCUGCUGUUAGCGUCCCGUAGAUAAGUACCCCCAAAAUAAAAGUUCUCCGGAUGCCGUGAAAAUCAAAUAUGAUUUUUUCUGGAAUUUUUGAAAAAUAUUGAGACGAAGAGCUAGUCUGGGGGUUGCACCAGUGGGCCACAAGUCCUGGAGGCGCGGGCACCCCCCUGGCCGCGCCUACUAGGCUUGUGGGGCCCACGUGCACCCCCUCCACUCAUUCUAACUCCCAUCUGCUUCUCCUACCUCCAGAAAAAAUCGUUUCGCAGCUCAAACCCGUGUUCUUGCUCUUCUUGUUGGGAUUUUCGAUCUCCUUGUGCAAAGCACCAUUUACCAAGCUGUUUUGGGGAAAUUACUCCUUGGUAAGUGACUCCUCCAUUGGUCCAAUUAGUUUUUGCUCUAGUGCCUUAUACUUCGCGUAUUUCUGCUGCCUUGGUGACCAUGUUCUUGAGCUUUCCAUGCUAAUUUUAGCUGGUCCCAAGUAGUUUUGAUGCAUAAUAUGGCCUCUAGGCACUUGUGGGAGUAGUUGCUACGAGUUUCGCUAGGCCUUGUUCAUUUUUCCUUAGAGUCACUGAAAAUUUCAGAAAAGGAAGAUGUUCAGGAGAAACUAUCAUGGUGGUUCCUCAAGCAAGAGAGGUCCCCGUCUCGCGAUUCGGGAGCCCGGUCCUUACCAACCAAGGAACGCACAGGUACAACCAUGUGAAUGGCCUUCUGAUGAAUUCAUGAUUGAGGCAGGUUUCAAAGACGAGUUUGAUACACUUGUUCAUAGCGUCGGACUCGAAGAAUUCAUCUCCGAUAAAUGUGAAAAGUAUGUUGCUCUCACUGCCUCUUUUUUUCGUAGAUUCAAAUUUUUAGUUGGCCGUGAUACAUCUAUACUGUUUGAUCUCUAUGAAAAAUCGUAUACCAUGGAUUUAGAGGAUUUCAAUAGAAUUUGCAAGAUACCUAUUUGGGGUAGUCUCAAUGAUCCUCCUAAAUCUUUGGUUAGAGAUUUUUUUCUCUGGUAUAACUGUUGGAGAAACUAGAGAUAUUACGCAGGCUACCAUGGGGAGCAUUCAUUUUCCUGCCUUGCAUUACUUUGCCCUCUUCAUAGGCAGAUGCAUUAAUGGCAAGAUUGAGCAUUGUCACCUUUGUGCACCCAACCUUAGUAUCCUAAAGAGCGCAGUAACGGGUGAUAGAAGUUUUAACAUGGGAGCUAUAAUAGCAAGGAGGCUGAAUAAUAAUGCUAAUGAAGGGGAUUUCUUUGGUGGGAUCUAUGCCACUUGCAUAGCAAAUUUUCUUGGAGUACCCAUCCGCGAAGGAGAUCCCCCGCUCCAUACAGCUUUCCUUGAUCGCACCGCUUUGACACGCUGUCAGUUCCUUGAGAGGGAUGAUGAAUCCCUCCUAUAUCGUUUAAUAUUUAACCGGCAGCGUGUUUUCCAUAUUACCCUUCCUGCUCCUACCUUCUUUGACUUUCAGGUAAAACAGAGAUAUUACAUAACCAGAGGAGAGACCGAGGAGUAUGAGAGGGAGGCAAAGGCUGCUCGUCUCCGUGAGGCAGCUAUUCAGGCAGUGGCUGCAGCGCUCCCGUAUAACCCCCAUUAUGAUUUUGGGUAUCGCCCGGACCAUCCUUGGGAGUAGACCAACUUAGGCCAAAAGCCUAAGCUUGGGGGAGUACGUGUUUCUCACCGACUUUAUAUUCUUGCUUAUGCUUUCACUUUGUUUAUUCGGUGUUCACACUUUGCCACUGUAUCAUCCAUGCUAAUUUAUUUCUUUUUCUCGUUUUCUUUUCGUGUGUCUGUCUAGUUCGAAAAAGCCCAAAAAGAUUUUCUUGUUCUUCUUUUGCUUGUUGGGAGCUUUCCCGUGUAAAUAGUUUUCUUUUUCUUUGGGUCAAGGUGGAAGACCAUGGUUACAAUGUUUAGUGGCUCUCGCUUGCAUAUCUGUUUAUGUGUCAAAGAUCCAUAUUACCUUGUCUUCUCCUUUGUGUUUGCCUACAGAUUCCAGCGUAGUCCAAUGCACGAGCACUCUUAUUAUUGUUCACAUCAUUCGGUCGUGCAAGUGAAAGGCAAUAAUGAGGAUAUAUGAUGAAGUGACUGAGCCUGGAAAAGUUGGUAUGAACUCGAUCUAUUUUGUUUUUGUAAAUAUGACUAGCUCAUCGUUCCUGAUUCAGCUUUGUUGUGAGAGAAACAUGUUUGCAAUGACAACUUAGAGAUCAUAGUUUCUGAUGCCAUGCUUAAUUAGCUAGGAGCUUAUAAUGGUUUGUCUUGGAUGCCAACAUGAAUCUUGAGAUGAAUAUGAUGUAGUAUGAUAGGAUGGUAUCCUCCUUUGAAUGAUUCAAGUGGCUUGACUUGGCGCAUGUUUAUGCAUGUAGUUGAAACAAAAUCAACAUAGCCUCUAUGAUAUUCAUGUUCACGGUGAUUUAUGUCCUACUCAUGCUUGCACUCAAUGCAUUUUGAUGACUGUUGUCGCUCUCUAGUUGGUCGUUUCCCAGUCUUUUCCUAGCCUUCACUUGUACUAAGUGGGAAUACUGCUUGUGCAUCCACUUCCAUACACCCAAAGUUGUUCCAUAUGAGUCCACCAUACCUACCUAUAUGCGGUAUCUACCUGUCGUUCAAAGUAAAUUUGUCUGUGCCACUGUCUAAACCUUCAAGAAAUAAUCUGUUUUGCAUGCCUGAACCGCUCAUGUGGUGACAGGGGGCUAUCAGUAUCUUCCAUGCUAGGCGUGUUAUCCUCGAUAUGUGUUUAUUCACUAUCAUUCACGAGAAAGGGGUCGGUAAUUGGAAUGCCCAGUUCCAUGCUCAAAUUGAAAAGAUAAUUGCAAACAAAACUCCCCAUGGAUUGAUGUUGGUAUGGACGGCACCCGAGUAUUCGGCUAGUCGUGGAGUGUGAUUGAUUGGUGGUGGGGGAGUCAAAACUUUAAUUUUCUGUUUGGGAACCGCCUAUAGUAUGUGUAGCGUGGAAGAUGGUGAGAACUCUUAGUCAUUGCGUUGACAAUGAAAGCAUGCCACCCAAAAUUAUUAUCUCUGUUUUCAAAGCUUGAGCUCUGGCACCUCUGCAUCAAUGCUUCCCUCUGCGAAGGGCCUGUCUAUUUAUGUUCAUGUUGAGUCAUCCUCCUCUUAUAAAAGCACCAAUUAGAGAUUACCUCUGUCAUUUUUAUGCUUUCCUUUUAACUGUGUUGAGUAUGACUGUGACUGGAUCUUCUUUGCCAUGAAUUACAAUGUUUAGUCAGCCCUUGGUCUUUGAAGGUGCUCUGCAUUUAUAUUUUGCGGUCUUAGAAAGAGCUAGCGAGAUACCAUCUGUUCGUACUGCUUCAUGAUUGUUUUGAUUGAAGUGUUGACGUUUGAGACUUAUUAUUAUUUGCUCGCUAGUUAAUUAUGCCAUUGAUAUGAGUUUACCGUGAGACCUAGAUGUCAUUUGCUUAUGUGGUUUGCUUGUGAUCUUGCUGAAAUUCUGGAUAUGAGUUAGACAUAGUUGCAACAACAAGAUCAAACAGAGUUCGUAAAAGUUUUCCUUUUGUCUCUUUCAGUUUGUAAACUGAAUUGCUUGAGGACAAGCAAGGCUUUAAGCUUGGGGGAGUUGAUACGUCUCCAUCGUAUCUACUUUUCCAAACUCUUUUUCCCUUGUUUUGGACUCUAAUUUGCAUGAUUUGAAUGGAACUAACCCGGACUAAUGUUAUUUUCAGCAGAAUUGCCAUGGUGUUGUUUUUGCACAGAAAUAAUAGUUCUCGGAAUGACCUGGAAAUUUACGGAGAAUUUUUGUGGAAUAUAUAAAAAAUACUGGCGCAAGAAUCUGCGGAGCAAGUGGAGCGUGGAGCCCACAAGCCCACCAGCCGCGGGCACCCCCCCCGGCUGCGCCUGGCAGGCUUGUGGGGCCCACAAAGCUCCACCGCCUCCAAAUCUAGAUCUAUUUAAUAUGUUUCGUCCGGAAAAAAUCAAGGAGAAGAGUUCAUCGUGUUUUACGAUAUGGAGGCGCCGCCACUUCCUCUUCUUCCUCUGGAGGGCAGAUCUGGAGUCCGUUCUGGGCUCCGGAGAGGGGAGAUCGUCGCCAUCGUCAUCACAGACCUUCCUUCAUCGCCAAUUCCAUGAUGCUCUUCACGUGUGACAGCCCGAGACCGGCGUUCCAGAAGAUUCCCCUUUCUUUCCGUUUUCGUCGUGUGCCUAUUUUAUUUUGUCGCGUCAUCAUCGCAUCAUGCGCAUCAUCCACAUUGCAUCGGCAUCUCCGUUGCCGACAGUUUUCAAAACUUGCAUCCGUUGUUAGUUGUCGGUUCACGUCGUUGUCCGUUCUAAGCCCGACCGCACACGCACGCGCCCGCGGCAUCGUCCAAACCCUGUUUUAAAAAGUGUUCGUAAAACUUUUGCUGAUCGGGUUGAGAUUUGACGUGCGGUCUUAUUUUAAUAUAGCUAGGCCGCCUGUCAAGUUUCGUCGCGAUCGGAGUUCGUCUGGUACCCGAACGGUCGCCCAUAGCGGCACCACAAUCGGUCUACCGUCGGACGUCUGCCGGUGUUUUAAAAUUCGUUGUCGCGCCGCCCGUUCUCCCUCUCGUCUCCGGAUAUCCCCUCUACACGGCCGCGUACCCAUACCUGCGUUCGGAAUCGUCCGAAUCCGACCCCGCGGUUGGAUCCGGAGCGCGAUUCCGGUUAACCGAGCCCCCCGUUUGUCUAUAUAUAGACCCCUUCUAAUUUUUCGACAGCCUCCCUCUAAUCCCUCCUUGAUUUCCGCGCCACCUACCCGAAACCCUAGCCUCCCACCUGCUCUCUCUCUCUCCUCCCCCGCGCCGCCGGCCCACCAGGCCCAGAUCGGGCCCGGCCGAGCCCAUCGCGCCGCCGCCGCCGUGGCUCGAGCCCCUGUGCUCCCGAGGCUCCCGAGCUCCUGGCCAUGGCCGCGCCUGCCCGGAAGAAGCCCCCGUCNNNNNNNNNNNNNNNNNNNNNNNNNNNNNNNNNNNNNNNNNNNNNNNNNNNNNNNNNNNNNNNNNNNNNNNNNNNNNNNNNNNNNNNNNNNNNNNNNNNNNNNNNNNNNNNNNNNNNNNNNNNNNNNNNNNNNNNNNNNNNNNNNNNNNNNNNNNNNNNNNNNNNNNNNNNNNNNNNNNNNNNNNNNNNNNNNNNNNNNNNNNNNNNNNNNNNNNNNNNNNNNNNNNNNNNNNNNNNNNNNNNNNNNNNNNNNNNNNNNNNNNNNNNNNNNNNNNNNNNNNNNNNNNNNNNNNNNNNNNNNNNNNNNNNNNNNNNNNNNNNNNNNNNNNNNNNNNNNNNNNNNNNNNNNNNNNNNNNNNNNNNNNNNNNNNNNNNNNNNNNNNNNNNNNNNNNNNNNNNNNNNNNNNNNNNNNNNNNNNNNNNNNNNNNNNNNNNNNNNNNNNNNNNNNNNNNNNNNNNNNNNNNNNNNNNNNNNNNNNNNNNNNNNNNNNNNNNNNNNNNNNNNNNNNNNNNNNNNNNNNNNNNNNNNNNAUAAAAACGUACCAGUAGCUCAAUAACCGUUGAAAGCAUCCAAAAUGGAACUACUGGUACGUUUUUAUUGGCUUAAAUAUGUCACACACACUAGAGAGUAACUUUUGUUCCCACAAUUCAUCAAGGGCAAAAGAGUCAUUUUACAACCACAUUUAACACCGUUAGUGUUCAGAUUGCACUACAGGGCCAUAUUAGGAAGGAAAUGAAGUUUAGAUGUCAAAUAGGGAAAAAAAUAAUAUUUAGGGCCAAAUAGGGAAGAAGAAUUUAAGAAAGGGCCAAAUAAGGAAUUCUCUCCAUAUUUUAUAUGUUUCCGGGGUAGAAAAAUCCCAUGGAUUUUUCUGUGCAAUUAGUUUUAGCAUUAGAGCAAGUUAGUUCGCGAGAUAUUUUGCUAAGUUGCCCUUUUGUUAAUUCGUAGGAUUUAUUCCGUGCCUCGUUUGAAUUAGUUCACAACUAGAGAGUUGAUCUUGGAUGUUUUGUUUAGCCCCUGGUAUUUUUGGUUGCAAUAGAAAUGCAUGUUUAGGUGUGUUUUGAUUGCCCUCAAGCUGCUAGAAAUAGUGUUGUUUUAGACGUGCUGAAAUAUUUCUAUGUCUGGAAUCUGUUAUAUUUUUGUUGUUGUCUUGUCUUGCUUGCAUCUUGUGAUCGGUAGCUCUUUUGAGGUUGGUCCAAUGGAGUAAGUUGCAGCCCUUGUGUUUCUCUAGCAUGCUAUGAAGUUUCAUUCCAUUUGGAGUCCUGUAGCUAUAGGUUUUUCUGCUGUCAAUAUAGCUUCAGAUCGAAAACUGCACUUUCGUGAAGUGCUAUUUUCACUAAGUCUGAAAUAGUGUGUGAGAUGCCAUUUGGUGUCUUCUUUUCCUAGUGCUCCUUGCUGCCAUGCUAGUUGUUGUUAGUUGUUUGUAGUAGAGCGUCUUGCCCUCUUUCGUGCCAUGCCUUACUUGCGUUUAUCGGAGUUGUGUAGCUCGUAGUUGUGGGGCGUAGAAAGUGCUAUGUGGCUGAUUUUGGCAGAUUGUAGUGUUUUCUUGUUUUACUCGUAGUUUUCGAACCGUAGCUCCGUUUUGAUCGUGUCCUACAUGGAACUUGCUUAGAAUCUCGUGUAGUUUCAUUUUCUCUUGCUGUCUGUAUGUGUUGAAGUGCUCGUAGCUGCCGUUGCACACAUUUUUCCAUUCAUGCCAUCAUAUCUUGCGAUGCUUGUAACUUUUGAUCCGUAGCUCCGUUGGAGGUGUUCUUUAUGUGUAGAUUGCUUGCCAUGACGCGUAGAAUCAUGUGAACCUAUUUGGUUUGCUGUUUAACAACUAAUUAAAUGUGUUAAUUCAGAUCUGGACAGAAUUGUAAAUUAACAUAUGAGGUCGUCUCGGAGAUGCUAUUUGUCAUUUCCGACCUCAUUUAAAAUGCCUAGAUAAGUAGUUUAAUUGCGCUUCACCUCUUGCCAUGUUUAAUCACAUUUAAUAUUUCCGUGUAUCUAAUUGGGAUAGAACUAAAUAAUUAAACGUGGAGUUUCGUCAAUAUGCAACUCGUUGCAUAUUGAACUUCACUUAAUGUGUAGUGUUUGAUUGAGUGGAUUGUCAUGCCGUGACGUGCAUGUUUUCAACUGCUCAUGCAUCAUAUGUGUUGUGCGUCGUGUGGUGAAUAUCGUGUGUUGAUUUGUGUUUCCGGUCUGCUUCGUCUCGAUAGAGUUCCGCAAGCGUGUCGGAUGUGAGGACCCGUUCGACUACGUCGGUUCGUCUGCUUCACGGAGACAUUCUUCUUCCAAGCGGGAUCUCAGGCAAGAUGAUCACUUCCCCAGAUACCAUUACUAUAAUUGUCAUGCUAGUUUAUCGCUUCUAUCGAUUAUGUCUCGUUGCCUACCACCUGUUAAAUUCAGCCUCUCAACAAUGCCAUGAAACCUUCAACCUGUUCAACCUAGCAAACCACUGAUUGGCUUGUUACUGCUUGCUUAACUCUGUUGUUAGCGUUGCUAGUUGCAGGUGCAGUUGCUUCCAUGUGAAACAUGGGUUCCUUGUUAUAUCACCAUAUUAAUGCUAUUUAACUUAAUGGACCUAUAUACUUGGUAAAAGGUGGAAGGCUCGGCCUUUCUAGCCUGGUGUUUUGUUCCACCUUUGGCCCCUUAGUUUCCGGCUACCGGUGUUAUGUUCCAUAAUUGAGCGCUCCUAACACGAUCGGGGUUGUUAUGGGGACCCCUUGAUAAUUCGUUUUAGAUUAAAGCUGGUCUGGCAAGGCCCAACAUUGGUACUACAUUUGCCUAAACACCUAAUAAAAUUGCAUAGGGACUUUCCGGACCCCGAGGAUAAUUUAAUCAACCCCCGGGCCAGUGCCCCUCAUGAGUGUUGGUCCAAAACAGAGCAGCUUAUUAAUGCUACCCGGGCAACUUGGCGUUUGGCGUGGUAACCAUCGCUCAUCCGUCGUGUCUUGAGAACGAGGUACGCGACUCCUAUCGGGAUCGUCGACACGUCGGGCGGCCUUGCUGGAUUAGUUUUACCUUUGAUGAGAUAUCUUGUGCAUCGGGAUUCCGGUGAUGCUUUGGGUAAUCUCAGAGUUGAGGUUUUCCACUAGGGAAUCCGACGAGAUCUCGAGCUUCGUGAUUGAGGAUUUCUAUGCGGCUUGUGGUAAUUUGUGAUGGACUAGUUGGAGCACCCCUGCAGGGUUAAAUCUUUCGGAAAGCCGUGUCCGCGGUUAUGUGGCAACGUGGAAACUUUGUUUAACGCUGGUUCUAAAUAACUUGAAGUUAACUUAAUUAAAACUUGCCAACUGUGUGCGUAACCAUGACUGUCUCUUUCGUGAGUUCUUUCUCCGAUCGAGGACACGGUGGGGUUAUGUCUGACGUAGGUAGGUGUUCAGGAUCAUUCAUUUGAUCAUCAGUAGUUCACGUCCGUUAUGCGUAGAUCUUCCCCCUCUUAUUUCUUGUACUCGUAAGUUUAGCCACCAAAUAUAUGCUUGGCCGCUGCUGCAACCUCAGCACUUAACCAUGCCUCACCCAUUAAGCUUUGCUAGUCUUGAUACCUUUGGAAAUGAGAUUGUUGAGUCCCCUGUGGCUCACAGAUUACUACAACACCAGUUGCAGGUACAGGUAAAGGUUACUUGACGCGAGCGCGUUGAUUGUUCAUUUGGAGUUGCUUCUUAUUCUUCUUCAUCGAUCUAGGAUGGGUUCCAGGCCGGCAGCCUGGGAUAGCAAGGAUGGACGUCGUUCUUCUUUUGUCGUUUGUUUCCGUCCCUAGUCGGACCCUGCUCUUACUCUUGAGGAUUAUGUAAUGUACUGAUGUGACUCUGAUGUAGCUUGUGGCGAGUGUAAGCCAACUCUUUAUAUAUCUCUUCUUUUCAGUACAUGUACUUGUAACGAUAUCCAUUCUUGCGACACGACGAGAUGCGCUUCUAUCCCUGACGAGGCCCUCGAGCCAAAUCGAGGAUAGGGUCGCAUCUUGGGCGUGACAUCACCGUUCGUGAGUAAUCUCAUCGUAGGCUUGCUUGACAGUGAUGGGUUGGAUGAGAUCUAUCAUGUAACCGAGUUAAUUUUGACGGGGAUUGAUCCCUAGUAUCCACUAUGUUCUGAGAUUGAUGUUGCUACUACUUUGCCAUGCUUAAUGCUUGUCACUAGGGCCCGAGUGCCAUGAUUUCAGAUCUGAACCUAUUAUGUUGUCGCCAAUAUAUGUGUGUUCUUGAUCCUAUCUUGCAAGUUGUAGUCACCUACUAUGUGUUAUGACCCGGCAACCCCGGAGUGACAAUAGCCGGAACCACUCCCGGAGAUGACCAUAGUAUGAGGAGUUCAUGUAUUCACUAAGUGUUAAUGCGUUGGUCCGGUUCUUUAUUAAAAGGAGAACCUUAAUAUCCUGUAGUUUCCAUUAGGACCCCGCUGCCACGGGAGGGAUGGACAAUAGAUGUCAUGCAAGUUCUUUUCCUUAAGCACGUAUGACUACAUACGGAAUACAUGCCUACAUUACAUUGACGAAUUGGAGCUACUUAUAUCUCUCCGUGUUAUAGCUAUUGCAUGAUGAAUAGCAUUCGGCAUAGUCAUCCAUCACCAAUCCAAUGCCUACGAGUUUUUCCUACUGGUCCUUGCUAUGUUACUUUGCCGCUACUGCUGUCACUGCUGCUACUGUUACUCUGUUGCUACUUCUGUUACUUUGCUGCUACUACUGUCACUUUGCUACUACUGGUUACCGUUGCUACUGCUCCUAUCAUACUACCUUGCUACUGAUACUUUGCUGCAGAUACUAAAUCUUUCAGGUGUGGUUGAAUUGACAACUCAACUGCUAAUACUUGAGAAUAUUCUUUGGCUUCCCCUUGAGUCGAAUCAAUAAAUUUGGGUUGAAUACUCUACCCUCGAAAACGGUUGCGAUCCCCUAUACUUGUGGGUUAUCAGAGACUAUUAGGAGGACUGUUGUAGACCAAAAGAGAUCUUGUGGAUAUGCCCCAUACAUUCAGAUACUUAUCAAUGGCAAACUUGGCACGCAUGCAUAUCUGCUUGAUCGUCCCCAUUUUCCCCUUCAGCCUGAAUUUGAAGAUAAUGAAGUUGUGAUGGAUGCCAAUGAUCCCAGCUCACCGCAUCUAGAGAGACAGCAGAGGCAGCAGCAGCACAGGCUACUAGGAAUGUGCCACCACCAGUUCCACAACUCAGAACUCAAGCUGAGCAAAUGACAUUUCUAGUGAGUUCUAUCCAAGGUAUGGAGAAGAACAUCUCGGAGAUUAUGCUAAACCAAAGGAUUUUAGAGAGGAUCGUGGAAAUCAAAUUCCAUGAUUUGGACGUCAAAGUGACAGAGACAUCUGCUAGUGUUGAUCAGCUCAAGCAUCAAGUUGAUGGUGUGAGGACACCCAGUUCAACUACUGAUGAUGAAGAGUCGCCUCCUCACACUACCACUUAGUUUAGUACCAAGCCCCGGUCAGCGGUUGUGCCAGUGUCGGAAGCAAGACCAACUUCAUCAACUCACGCAUUUGUACCUUCAUCUUCAGCCCCAGCUCGAGCACCUCCAGUAUCGACUCCUCCAGCUCCAGGACAUUCUCCCGAAGUCUUUGCCGACGCUCUUCUGUCUACUCCAUCAUCACUACCCCAGUAGAUAGGGCCCACAUAGACGAUUAGCUCAAUACUUUCGAACUUUUUGGUAACUCGUUGCCAAAGGGGAGAAAUGUAUAGAUCUUAGGGCUUCGAGCGAGAGAGAGAUUUUGACAUUAUUUUCUCUGUUUGGUCGUUUGGUUUUUACAAAACUUUGUCUCGUUGGAUGAAUUUAUCUAGUUACCUGUGUUUGAUCAUACGCUUUGGUUGGUUGAUGCUACUACAUUAUUAUCUUUGAGCUAUGCAUACGAUGAUCAUUCACUUAUUCUUUUGGUGCAAUGUGCAUUACUAUUCAUUCAUAUCAUGUAUAAGCACCACCAAGAUGUAUGUGACAUGAAAGAGUGACCCAUGAUAUUAAUCGGUUGUGCAUUUGCAUUCAAAUGCAAAUUAUAAAUAAUGCACAAAUUUAGGGGGAACUCUUGCUUUUCACAUACUUCUCAAAGCAUCAAUGCUAAUCAUUGAUUAUAUCUUUUGUCGAAGCUUUGAUCUAUAUGUUGUCAUCAAUGAGCAAAAAUGGGGAGAUUGAAAGCACAAUUGCUCCCUAAGGUGGUUUUGAUAAUUGAUCACAACAUAUGCAUCAUUGGACUAAUGAUUUUAUCCUAGUAUAUUUCAGAAAAUUUCAAAAGAUGCAUUGGUAAAGGUUUAUGUGGAGAAGCUCCUUGGUGCAAGAAAGGAAUAAGAUUGGCUCAAGCUUCAAGCAAAAAGAGUCUUCGUUUUAUAUUUGUGAGAAAUCACUUUUGAGUCCAUAGGAAAGCCAAUACUAUUAAAAGGGGGUGAGGUAUUAAAAUGAACUGGUUCCUCAAGUGCUCACACGUAGCCACCAAAAAUACUCAGUCAGUUUUCCACAUAACACUUCUUUCUAUAGCCACAUAUCCAAAAUCGGUGCCACCAAGUUUUCAGAUUCGGCCCUACCGAUUUUCAACCCACACAGAACCCUAGCCAAACCUACCAUUUCGGUACAACCAAUUAUGCAUCGUUGCUACCGAGUUCAGGUGACCAACUUUCUAUUGCCUUGGUACACGAAAUUGGAAUUUUUGUGUUUUGGUAUCGGAGUCACCGAGUUGGGCCAUAUGACCGUUAGCCACAUUUUCAGUUCCACCGAGUUGUGUAUACCGGUCUCACUGAGAUUCAAAAGUUGCUGCCUUUUGUGCAAGUCGGUACCACCAAUUUUAUGACUUCGAUGUCACUGAGUUGGUCACUUCAGGUGUAAUGGUUGGAUUUUGGGUGCUGCCUAUAUAUACCCCUCCACCUACCUCACAUUCGUAGAGGAAGCACUUAGAACACACACUUCAUUGCCAAAACCAUUUUUCUGAGAGAGCGCCACCUACUCAUGUGUUGAGAUCAAGAUAUUCGAAUCCAUCCAUUUGAAACUUGAUCUCUAGCCUCCCCAAGUUGCUUUCCACCAAAUCAAUCUAUCCUACCCACGCAUAUUCUGUGGGAGAGUGAUUGAAUGUUGAGGAGACUAUCUUUAGAAGCACAAGAGCAAGGAGUUCAUUGUUCUACCACAUCUAUUGCCUUUUGGAGGGUGGUGCCUCCUAUAUAUGUUAGGUGUCGCUUGGGAGCCUCGUACAUCGUGUUGUGGAGUUGAACCAAUAUGUUUGUAAGGGCAAGGAGAUCGCCUACUUCAUGAAGAUCUACCGUGAGUGAGGCUAGUCUUGUGUGGACAAAAGCCUUGGUGGAAUAGACAAGACCGCUUCUUCGUGCACCCCUUGUGGGUGGAGCCCUCCGUGGACUCUCGCAGCCGUUACCCUCCAUGGGUGAAGUCUCCACUAAAAUGGACGUACGAUAGCGCCACCUAUCAGAACCAUGCCAAAAAUUGUCGUGUGAACCUCUUGCGUUUGAUCUCCCUACCUUACUCCCUUUAAUUUACACUUGCAUGUUUUACCUUCCCCUGCUAUAUCCUUAGAUGUGCAUGUUAAGGGUGUACUUGACUUGCCAUAAUUGCUAAAACUUGCCCACAACUAAAAUUGGGAAAGGCUAAGUUUUUAUUGGUCAAGUAGUCUAAUCACCCCCUCUAGACAUACUUUCGAUCCUACAGUAUGCACCAUAUAUUCAUAUGCUCAUCAAUGCGAGCAUUGGCAAGCAUGCAUAUCUACUUGAUCGUCCACACAUGCCACUUCAGCCAGAGCUCGAGGACAAUGAAGUUGUGAUGGACCUCGGUCGUCCCAGCUCAGCUACAGCUCGUUAGCACGCAGAGACAGCAAAGGCAGAUGCAGCCAGAGAUGCUCCAGCACCACAGUUGAGAUCUAGAGAGGAGUAGAUGUCAUUUCUUGUCAGCACCAUCCAAGGUAUGGAGAAGAGUAUUUCAUAGAUCUUGCUGAAUCAGAAGAGCCUUGAGAGGAUCGUGGAGACUAGAUUCCAUGACCUGUAUGUCAAAGUGAAAAAGUUGGCUACAAUUGUUGAGCAGCUCCAGCGUGAGGUUGAUGCACUGCAUAUAUCCCAUUCCAGAAAUGAUGAUUAUGAUUUGCCUCAUUCCACAACUACUCAGUUCAAGACCUAGUCUAGGUCUAUAGCUGUGCCAGUGACGGAAGCAAGACCAACUUCAUCAACUCAAUCAUUAAUGCCUUCGGCUCCAGCUCCACCUCCUGCACCUUGAGUGUCAACGCCUCCACCUCUGGGGACAUCCGCUUAAUCCUUCAACGAUGCUCUUCUGUCGACUCCAUCAACUACUACCGGAGGAGAUCGAGCCCAGAGCAACGGUUAGUUCUAGACCUUUGAACUUUUUGGUAACUUGUUGCCAAAGGGGGAGAAGUGUAUAGAUCAUUCAGGGCUGAGAGAGAGAGAGAGGGGGAUCUUUGCUUUUUUAUUUGCUCUCGUUUGGUUUUACAAAACAUUUGGUCUUUUAGAUGACUCGAACUUUCGUGUUUGAUCAUACGCUUUGAUUGUUGAUGCUACUACGUUAUACCUAUGAGUUAUCUACAUGAUAAUCAUUCACUCAUUUUUUGGUGUUAUGUGCAUUACUAUUUAUUCAUAUCAUUUAUGCGCACCACAAAGAUGUAUGUGACAUGGAAAAGUGACCCAUGAUCAUAAUCGAUUGUGCAUUUGCAUUCAAACGCAAAUUUAAAAUAAUGCACAAAUUUAGGGGACCUCUUUCUUUUCACAUACUUCUCGAAGCGACAAUGCUAAUCAUUGAUUUUAUCUUUUGUCGAAGCUUUGAUCUAUAUGUACUCAUCAAUUACAAAAAAGGGAGAGAAUGAAAGCACAAUUGCUCCCUAAGGUGGUUUUGGUAAUUAAUAAGAACAUAUGUGUCAUUGAACGAAUGAUUCUAUCCAAGUAUAUUUCACAAAAGUUCAAAGAUGCACUGGUGUUAGAGCAUAUUUCUCCAUAUGUGGUUUUGGUAAUUGAUGACAAUACCUAUGGACUAAUGGUUGCCUUAAGUUAUAUUUGUAGGAUUUGUCAAUAGACACUUCUUGAAGUCCAUCUGCUGGUUUCAAUGAGUUUAUAUGAUGACCAAGGUGGUAUUCAUGAUUUUAUCCAAAGAUUGGCCAUAAAAACACAAGGUUGAUCAAGACUAAGUCAAAGAGUGAAUCAAGUUGAUCAAUACACAAAGCGUACAAGAUGUACCGAGAGGGAUCAAGUGAUCCAAUGGUAUGGUAAGCAUUGUCCAUUACACUUUUUGUACUAAUCCGUGGUCUUCAUGAGAGUAUUAUGUGGGGUUAGGUGGGUUUCCAUGGGCUUCUGUCAAGAGGAAGAUCUCAUACAACCCAUCGAGGAUGACGUCAAGUGGUGAUCGUCAUCAAGAUUGUAGUUUGCAAGUUCAAGUGGAGCAUCACGAAGAUAUCUUGCUUAUAGCUUGUCGUCCAUUGUGGUGGCAAUGGACUUGUGAAGAUGUGCUGAAGAGUGGCUCGCCCAUACUGGAGUAUGGGGGGCAAUCAACUUGUCUUCAUCGAUCCAACACAAUCAAGAAAGGUGGUCCAUCUUGAGGAAGUCAAGAUCGUCAUAUUCUAGCUCAAGUUGACUAUAUGCAAUGUAUAGGUUUGCCAUUGAUAGGUUUCUCUAUUUUAGGAUAGAUCGUCGUACUGUCAAGGGGGCUCCCAAGUGAGUUGCUUGAUUGUAUCGUUCAUUGAGAGCUCAAACCAUUUACAUCUUUGCAUCAUCUUUCUUGGUUCUUUUUUGGUGAUUCUCUUUGUGAAUUGUAGAUCUUAUGGUCAUCUUCAUUACAAGCUCGAGUUCAUCGAAAACGAAGUCCAUAUGCAUCUUCUAUGAUAUUUUCGAUGUUGGGAGUUUUGUCGGUUCUUCAUUCAUAGAGGUCUCACAUCUCUAUAUUUUUGGUGUUAGAGCAUAUUUCUCCAUAUGUAGUAUUGGUAAUUGAUGACAAUCCCUAUGGACUAAUGGUUGCCUUAAGUUAUAUUUGUAGGAUUUGUCCAUAGGCACUUCUUGAAGUCCAUAUGUUGAUUUCAAGGAGUUUAUAUGAUGAGCAAGGUGGCAUUCAAGGUUUUAUCCAAAGAUUGGUCAUAAAGACACAAGGUUGAUGAAGACUAAGUCAAAGAGUAAAUCAAGUUGAUCAACACACAAAGCGUACAAGAUGUACCAAGAAGGAUCAAGUGAUCCCAUGGUAUGGCAAGCAUUGUCCAUUACACUUUGUGUACUAACACAUGGUCUUCGUGAGAGUUCUAUGUAGCGUUAGGUGUGUUUCCAUGGGUUUGCGUCAAGAGGAAGAUCUCAUUCAACCCACAGAAGAUUGUGGUGUGCAAGUUCAAGUGGGGCAUCAUGAAGAUAUCAUGCUUGAAGCUUGCCGCCCAUUGUGGUGGCAAUAGACUUGUGAAGAUGUGCUGAAGAGUGGCUCACCCAUAGUGGAGUAUGGGGAGCAAUUUACAAGUCUUCAUCGAUCCAGCGCAAUCAAGAAAGGUGGUCCAUCUUGAGGAAGUCAAGAUCAUCAUCAUCUAGCUCAAGUGGACUAGGUGCAAGGUAUAGGUUUUCCCUUGAUAGGUUUUUCUAUUUUAGGAUAGAUUGACGUACUGUCAAGGGAGGCUCUCAAAGUGAGUAGCUUGAUCGUAUCGUUUGUUGAGAGCUCAAACCAUUUCCAUCCUUGCAUCAUCUUUCUAGGUUCUUGUUUGGUGGUUCUCUUUGUGUGUUUUAGAGCUUAUGGUCAUCUUUAUGACAAGCUCGAGUUCAUCGAAAAUGGAGUUCAUGUGCAUCUUCUACGAUGUUUUCGAUGUUGGAGUUUUUAUCGGUUCUUCAUUCGUAGAGGUUUCACAUCUCUAUAUAAUUGGCAUUUUUCUAGUACCUCUUAUUGCUAUAACAUUCGUUGUUAGGAUAGUACUUGUCAUCUGCUAUCCAACAAGCUUGAGUUUGCUCAAUUCGGAACUCGUAUGCGAAAGUUAUGGUUGUUUUUGUCUUACGUGUUUUUCACUCAGAGGUUGUACCGCCCCUAAGAGAGAUAUACCGCUUGACCGGUACAACCGGUGUUUGGAGCGGUUGUACCGCUCCAAAAUUGGUCCGGAGGUUGUACCGGCCAUGUACCGCUCUACCACCGAACUAGGUUCUAUUUUGGAGCGUUUCUUGGGCGGUUGAGGGUCGGUUGCACCGCCAUAUUACAUUUACCAGUUGUACCACCCACAUCACCCGUUGUACCGCCCGUGUGUUAUUCUAAACAUAACAGGCAUAUUUGUGGGGACCCAUUUAAGGGGGUCUUCUUCCCAAUGGUUCCCCAACUCUUGAGCUCGUUUUUCCCCAUUGUUGAACUUCUUAGAGCUUGCUAACUCUCAAUCCCUCCAAUGAUUCUUGCUCCUUUUUGAGGGAAAAGAUAGGGGAGAUCUAGAUCCACAUUUCCACCAAUCACUUUCUACUUUGUGUGAGGGGAACCCCUUGGAUCUAGUUCUUCGAGUUCUUGGUGUUCUUCUUUGUUCUUCCUCUCAUUUUACACCAUAGCAUUAGUUGUUGUGGUGGGAUUUGGGAGAGAAGGACUUGGGCACUCCGAGUGCCCUUGCCAUUGCAUCUCGUGCAUAGGUUUGAGUUCUCCACAGUGAUACAUGAAAGUAAAGUUUGAGAAUCUUAUUACUCUUGGGUGCUUGGUACCUUAAAGCUUGUUCUUGUUGGGUGCUUUAGCAUCCUAGAAGCUUGGUGGUGCCUGGGAGAUCAACCAUUGUGGUGUACAGCUCCGGGCAAGUGUCGGGGGUCUCCAAUUAGGUUGUGGAGAUUGCCUCCAGCAUUUGAGGUUACCUCGAACAAUAUUCCAUUGUGGUGAAGCUUUAUGGUGUUGUUGGGAGCCUCCAAUUAAGUUGUGGAGAUUGCCCCAACCUUGUUUGUACGGGUUCGGUGACCGCCCUCAAGGUUCCCUUAGUGGAAUCACGACAUCUUCCCUUGUGCGAGGGAGUGAGGAGAUUACGGUGGCCUUAUUGGUAUCUUGGGGAGCAUUGUGCCUCCACACCGCUCCAAACGAAGAUUAGCAUCCGCAAGGGUGUCAACUUCGGGAUACAUUGUCGUCUCUGCGUGCCUCGAUUAUCUCCUACCCAAGCCCUUUACUUAUGCACUUUACUUUGUGAUAGCCAUAUUGUUUCUUGUUAUAUAUCUUGCUAUCACUUAGUUGUUUAUCUUGCUUAGCGUAAUUUGUUGGUGCACGUAGGUGAACCUAGUUGUUUUAGGUUUUGUGCUUGACAAAUUAAACGUCAGUUUUAUUCCGCAUUUUUUCAAGCCUAAACCGUAAUUAUUUUAAAGAGCAUAUUCACCCCCCUCUAGGUGACAUCCACGUCCUUUCAAUUGGUAUCAGAGCUAGGUCUCUCAUUAUUAGGUUUUACCACCUAGAGAGUAAGGAUGUCGACUAGGGGAUUAGGAUUCUUUGACAUUCUUAGUUUCAGUGGCACAAAUUUUCAUGUUUGGGUAAUUCGCAUGCUUAAUCUCUUUAGGGUUAUUGACCCAAAUUUAGAGCAAAUUGUAGAUAUGGGGUUUUCUCCUCCAAAGGAUUCCCAAAACACAUCUUUAGAGGAUGCGAAAAACUCUUAUCUCAAUGCUCAAGCUUCUAAUGUGCUUUUUGAUGUGUUGAGCAGUGUAGUUAUAUUUCAACUCAUGCCAUUCCGGGAUGCUCAUGAGUUGUGGACAAAGCUUCAAUAUAAAUAUGGUGUGUCCAAGAUUUGUAGGGAUGAUUGUUCUCCCUCCACCUCCGGUGGUGUUGUUUUCUCAACUUCGUCUACUUCACCUACAUGUGGAUUGCCACAAUGUAAUGAUAUGGUGAGUAGUGGUGAUCAUUGCAAUGAUGAUAGUGGGCUUAUUGUUGAUGAUCCUUCAUCACUAUCUUAUUGUAAUGCUUCAUCUUUGGGCGUUAACACUUGGACCGCUCUAAAUUUUUUACAUGCUUGUGUUUAUAGUCCUUGCAUAUCAUGUAAAAACUGACUGACUAAAUCUCAUGAUGACAUGCUUUCUAUAUCUUGUUGCCAUGAUAAAAAUGUAUCUAUUUCCUCGAGUUGUUGUGCUAACAAUGUAGAGGAAAUCCAUCACUUCAUGGAACAAUAUGUGGCCUUGAAUGAUGCUUCAAGGGAUCCUACAUCAUCAUCUAUUGUUUCUCACUUUUGCCUUAUGGCUAAGGCUUCAAAGGUAUCUACUACUUUGAAUCCCAAUAUAUUUCAUGAUGAUGAUGUUGAUGAUAAUGAGGAUGAGGAUAAUGAUGAAGAGAGUGAAAAUAUUGCAUCCUUAAAACUUAAGGGUGAAAUGAUUUUUAAAGCUCUUCAUAAGAAUAAUCUUGCUCGUUCCAACUUCAUGGAAAUCAUGUCUAUUGCCAUUGAGUGCAAGAAUUAUAUUGAGGAGUUGGAAUCUCAUCUCGAGGAGCAUGAGGCCACCAUUGAGAUAAUGGAAGGUCAUGAGCGUGAUUACGCUAAUGAGAUAGUGGAGCUAUCCCAAGCUAUUGAAAAUGAACAAACCACCAAGGAAUCUCUUGAGGAGACCUUUGCCCUAGAAUUAUCUAGAUUAAAUAAAUCCCAUGAUAGAGCUCUUGAGGUGGCUAAUGAUUUUAGAACUAAAAUGAUAAGCUUGAAGUUGCUCAUGCUAAACUCCUUGAGGACAAUGAGCACCUCAAAAAUGUCUCAAGGGCUAUUAAUAGUUCGCUCAUCGAGCUCACUGAGUCUCAUGCUCAACUUGGAGCUUCAUAUGCAAAUGAGCUUGCCACGUUGCCUUCUCCUCUUGUUGUUAAUAUUGAUGCUUGUGCUUCUAACUCUAUUUCUUGUGAAGCAUUUGGGGGAUUUGGGAGAGAAGGACUUGGGCACUCUGUGUGCCCUUGCCAUUGCAUUUGGUGCAUAGGUUUGAGUUCUCCACGGUGAUAUGUGGAAGUAAUGUUUGAUAAGAUUAUUACUCUUGGGUGCUUGGUACCUUAGAGCUUGUUCUUGUUGGGUGCUUUGGCAUCCUAGAAUCUUGGUGGUGCCUCGGAGCUCAACCAUUGUGAUGUAAAGCUCCGGGCAAGCGUCGGGGGUCUCCAAAUAGGUUGUGGAGAUUGCCUCGAGCAUUUGAGGUUACCUCGAAGCCAUAUUCCAUUGUGGUGAAGUUUCGUGGUGUCGUUGGCGGCCUCCAAUUAAGUAGUGGAGAUUGCUCCAACCUUGUUUGUACGGGUUCGAUGACCGCCCUCAAGGGUCCCUUAGUGGAAUCAUGACAUCUUCCAUUGUGUGAGGGCAUGAGGAGAUUACGGUGGCCUUAUUGGCAUCUUGGGGAGCAAUGUGCCUCUACACCGCUCCAAACGGAGAUUAACAUCCGCAAGGGUGUGAACUUCGGGAUACAUCGUCGUCUCUGCGAGCCUCAUUUAUCUCUUACCCGAGCCAUUUACUUAUGCACUUUACUUUGUGAUAGCCAUAUUGUUUCUUGUUAUAUAUCUUGCUAUCACUUAGUUGUUUAUCUUGCUUAGCAUAAGUUGUUGGUCCACACAGGUGAGCCUAGUUGUUUUAGGUUUUGUGCUUGACAAAUUAAACGUUAGUUUUAUUAUGCAUUUUUUAAGCCUAAACCGUAAUUAUUUUAAAGCGCCUAUUCACCCCCUCUAGGCGACAUCCACGUCCUUUCAAUUGGCAUUUUCAUAACUGCAUGUUCUUAAGAUUUCCAGUCGUUGUUGGAUCGCUCUUGUCGUCCUGAAUCCAACAACUUUGAGUUUGCUCAAUUAGAGCUUGUAUGCGAAAGAUAUGAUAGUUCUGGUUUUCUUCUUUUGCGUGUGGUCUACCUGGAAUGAUCCAAGGGUAGUACCGCCCGGGCCGGCGGUAGUGGCCCAGCUUGUACCGCUGGCUAGUACUGCUGCCCAUAAGUUCGACACCUUUUUUGGUCGGACUUUGCGGUAGUGUUGGGCGGUAGUACUUCUCCUGCUCCUGGCGGUACUAUCGGCCCUGCACCCUCUCAGUCCGGCCUCCCUCUGCAUGAGCGGUAGUACCGCUCUGGCUCGGACCGAGGGGGUAAUUGUUGGAUUUCCCCCUUCCUAUUUAAGGGGUCUUAUUCCCCAAAGGUCUCUAUCCGUUGAGCCCGCGUUCUUCCCCCAUUGUUGACCUUCUUUGAGCUCGCUAACUCUCAAUCCAUCCAAUGAUGCUUGCUAAUUCUUGAGGGAAAAAAGGGAGGAGAUUUAGAUCCACAUUUCCACCAAUCACUUUCUCCUCUAUGUGAGGGGAACCCUUUGGAUCUAGAUCUUGGAGUUCUUCGUGUUCUUCUUCGUUCUUCCUGUCAUUUUCUUCCAUAACAUUAGUUGUUGUGGAUGGAUUUGAGAGAGAAGGACUUGGGCACUCCGUGUGCCCUUGCCAUUGCAUUUGGUGCAUAGGUUUGAGUUCUCCAUAGUGAUACGUGGAAGUGAAGUUUGAGGAGCUUAUUACUUUUGGGUGCUUGGUACCCUAAUAACUGUUCUUCUUGGGUGCACGUUUUUCCGUUUACCCUAAUACCCCGAGAUCUUUGUCGUUUGCGCGUUUUUCCUUGAAACUUUUGUUCCAGCGAAGUACCGGUCGCCUGAGCGGUACUACCGCUUGUACACACGCUGAGUGCAUAACAGUUGGAUUUUGAGGGUCCUAUUUAAGGGGGUCUUCUUCCCCAUUGGUCUCUAACUCUCGAGCUCAUGUUUGCCCCCCAUUGUUGACCUUCUUAGAGAUUGCUAACUCUCAAUACCUCCAAUGAUUCUUGAUAGUUCUUGAAAGAAAAGAGAGAGGAGAUCUAGAUCCACAUCUCCACCAAUCACUUUCUGCUCUAUGCGAGGGGAACCCCUUGGAUCUUGAUCUUGGAGUUCUUUGUGAGCUCCUUGUUCUUCCUCUCAUAUUCCUCCAUAGCUUUUGUUAUUGUGGAGGGAUUUGAGUGUGAGGGACUUGACCACUUCGUUUGUUCUUGCCAUUGCAUUAGUUGCAUCGGUUUGAGUUCUCCACGGUGAUACGUGGAAGUGAAAAAUUUUAGAAGCUUGUUACCCUUGGGUGCUUGGUACCCUAGAGAUUGUUCUUUGUGGAUGCUUUGGUGUCCUAGAAGCUUGGUGGUGCCUUGGAGCUCAAUCAUUGUGGUGUAAAAGCUCUGGGCAAGUGUCGGGGUCUUUAAUUAUGUUGCAGAGAUUGCCCCGAGCAUUUGAGGUCAUCUCCAAGCCACAGUCCAUUGUGGCGAAGCUUCGUGGUGUUGUUGAUAGCCUCCAAUUAAGUUGUGGAGAUUGCCCCAACCUUAUUUAUAUGGGUUCGGUGACCACCCACAAGGGUCCCUUGGUGGAAUCACGGCAUCUUGCAUUGUGCGAGGGCGUGAGGAGAUUAUGGUGGCCUUAGUGGCAUCUUGGGGAGCAUUGUGCCUCCACACCGCUCCAAACGAAGAUUAACAUCCGCAAGGGUGUGAACUUCAGGAUACAUCGUCGUCUCUGCGUGCCUCGGUUAUAUCUUACCCGAGUUCUUUACUUAUGCACUUUACUUUGUGAUAGCCAUAUUGUUCCUUAUUAUAUAUCUUGGUAUCACUUAGUUGUUUAUCUUGCUUAGCAUAAGUUGUUGGUGCUAAUAGGUGAGCCUAGUUGUUUUAGGUUUUGUGCUUGACAAACUAAAUGUUAGUUUUAUUCCGCAUUUGUUCAAGCCUAAACCAUAAUUAUUUUAAAUCACCCAUUCACCCCCCUCUAGUCGACAUCCACGUCCUUUCAACGACUGAUAUACGAAAGGUCACUUGAUAGCUGAAUGGUUUUGGUGUAGUGGAGAUUGAAUAUGAAGGCUGCACUCUUCGGCUGCUGCCUGUUCUUUUCAUCUCCCUCUUUUGCUUCGCCUCCCGUCGUUGCAUGUUCGUCUCCUUCUCUUGUGGCCAUAAAGGAGAAGUCACUCCUCUCGAGAGAAACACACAAGAGCAUCAUCUUCCUCACGCCAUCUAGUUCCAAUAUCUGAGCUGCUGGUUCUUUGCCAUCCCGGCUUGCGGCGUGCACCACAGGCCGGGACAGCAUGCCUCCGAAACCCCGCCUCUUUGAGUCUUAUACGGGAGAAGGGUGAUAAGAUUUUUGGGGAGCACUGUGCACGACUACUGGCUUCUUCAUCAUAGACACCACGGACGUCGACGACCUCUUCCGGAACGACAACUUCUUUCUCGACGUCAACAACCUCUUCGACAACAUGGAUGAUGUCAAUGCCAGUCCCACUCCUGCUGCUGUUGCAACUCAGUACGUGUUCGUGUUCUUCUUGUUUGAAUUCCUAUCUCAACUUAUUGCUCUAGUUUAUAUUGGAUAUGUUGCAUUCCUACUCACCACUUCAGAUGCUCCUUGCAUACUUUUUAUUUUAUUGCGUGACUUGUCUUAUAACUGCUAUAGUAGUCAUGAUUUAUCUAUUAUUUCUGCUAGUAAAAUCACAUGGUAAAACACUUAUAUUUCUAGCAUUUGCUAUGUUUGAUUUGAACUAUUUGCUAUACUUGGAUGGACGUGAUGCAACCAAAAGACGACCACACAUUGGAUGCACGCUUUGCGCAUCAAGAAAUCCAUGCAAAUGUCGCUCCAAUGCGACCUCAAACGAACAAAGUCCGGAUAAAACAGACGUCCGUUUAAAAUAUAUUUUUUAAACAUAGUACAUAUGCAAACCCUCGUAUACAGACACAUACACUCACCUAUAUGAAUAUACACACGCACUCCUUGUCUUUAUGAGCAACUUAAAAAAAACUGAGCUACGCAUGAGCUUAAAAUUUAUAAAAUCAUCAUAGACACCUCGUUGUCGACGGGAACGCCUUCUUUCACUAAAUACGCAUCAUCAAAAAUAUUAAAAUAAAAGCGAACACGAGAAUUCAAGACCUGAUCGACUGAGAUACCGUACUCUAACCAUCCAACCAUGAUUCACGUCCAUUUGGAAUAGUUCGAGUCGCUGUACCGCGCGAAAGGAAAGAAAGGUUUGACAACGAGAACAGCUACUGACUGCGCAUGACACGCAGAAAUUUACCUUCUCUAUUGAGCACCAAAAUCGAUGGUCCGUCGGUCCAAAGCACCAGACCACCCUACAGUUCUACACACCGACAGCGAUAGCGCGCGGUAGAGUGUGGACUGUGGACGGGCCCGACGUCAACGGCACGGCGACCCUCCGGCGUCACCCUCCAGGCGUACGCGGCCGCAGCUGGCACCAUUUGCAUGAUCACCACCGCACCGCACCGCACCGUCUGCAGGGCUGGCAUAGCGUGGCCGCAUUGACCUCGUGCCCUCCCACGCCGGCGCGAGGAGGUAAAAUAGUAAGCGGCAGCGUACGGGGGUAGGCGCCGAGCCGCCGACCGACACAGGGGCAGUAGGGUACUAGGGUGCGCGUCGGCGCGAGCGGGACCAAGACGGAAGGAAGCCACGCGAAGCUCGCUGCUUUCUUUCUUGCUUGCCUCCUCCGUCCUCCCGCCCCCAAAAUAAAAAUCUGAAAACAGCAAGGCACCAAACGCCCGGGAGCACCCAACACACCACCACACACCAUUUCUUCCCCCUCCCCGCGGACCUCAGCCGGCUUACCCUCCCGCCUCCUCCUCCUCCGAAAGCCCAGGUCAAACUCCCCCAGCCAGCGAGGGAGACGGGGGAGAGAGGAGAGAGAGGCUCUCGGAUCCGAGCUGCUCCCUCCCGUGCCCGCCCAGAUCUCCUCCGCAGCCCAGCACCCGACGCCCCGGAUCUGCGCCCGUCGCAAAGGUAUUCCCUUUUUCAUCCAAUCUCGCUCCCCGGAUCUGCGCCUCCUCCCCGGAGCCGGAGGUGGCUUCCGUUCCUAGCUCCGCGGCUGCAGAGUAGGAGUAGCUAGCUAACUUAGCUGAUCUAGUUUAGAUGAUGAUGAUGAUAAGCAUCGAGAGCGGAGUUUAUGGUAGGCCCACCAGAGCAAAUCUCGCCUCCCGGCUCCGGGGAUCUCGAGCUCCGGUAGAUAUCAUUAUGUCUUUCCAAUUUAAACCCCGCAAAAUGUUUUAAGGAUCUGGGUCUGGCUUUGAUGAAAUCUCCGAGGCUCAUGCCGUGCUACUUUUGGUCA
RNAcentral lists this long non-coding RNA (47051 nucleotides) under Hordeum vulgare. Its description in RNAcentral is "long non-coding RNA (HVUL_LNC010618)". Lineage: Eukaryota; Viridiplantae; Streptophyta; Magnoliopsida; Poales; Poaceae. The record is from RNAcentral.